RNAcentral lists this long non-coding RNA (46049 nucleotides) under Malus domestica (apple). Its description in RNAcentral is "long non-coding RNA (MDOM_LNC005369)". Lineage: Eukaryota; Viridiplantae; Streptophyta; Magnoliopsida; Rosales; Rosaceae. The record is from RNAcentral.
GGGAUUGAGUUUGCCGGGAAUGAGCCUGUGAAGUUCGACGUGUAUGUGAACGAUGACGCGGAAUCGCUGGCUGGGAAAGACAAGUCGGAGUUUGCUGGGAGUUUUGUUCACGUGCCGCAUAAGCAUAAGAAAAAUAUUAAGACGAACCUGCGACUGAGCAUUAUGAGCUUGUUGGAGGAGUUGGAUGCGGAGACAGACAGCAGUUUGGUGGUGACUUUGGUGCCGAAAGUUGGGAAGGGGCCAAUCACCAUCGGAGGGUUUAGCAUUGAGCUCAUUAAUACUACCUAAGUAUUAUUUAAUGUUAUUGUUGUUCUUCUUGUUGUUGUUGGGUUGGCUUAAUCGUGUUUUUCUAGCCAAGUAAUCUUGACUGUAAUGUGCUCAUCUACUGCUUAUGUGGCAGAUAACGGUUGGUGUUCCUCGUGAAUAAAAGCACUAUUGUGUUUCGGUGUGUUUAUUUAUUGAAUAAAGAAUUGAUGGUAGAGUUUAAUCAUAAUUUUCCAGAAUUAUUGAUGAUUGAGUUCUCAAAAAAUUAAGAGUAUGUUUGGUAUCUUAUUCAAAAAAAAAAUUUAUCAUUGUACAAAACACUUCUUAAAAACAUGUCCUAAGAACAAUUUUUGUUUAAAAGUCAAAAACUUUUUUGGUAUGAAAUUCGUAAUUGUUUUUAAAGAAAAAAAAAACUCAUCCUAUAAUGUGAACUUGUAAAUUCAAAGAGAGAAAAAAGAAGGAGGGUAGAGAGAAAAAUGGGAGAAGGAAAGAAAGGGAAGAGAAUGAAAUAGGAAACAUCCUAACCCCAUUUUUAUUUAAAAAUUGUUUUAAAGCCUUAAAUGGUGAGCCGGUGGGGCCCACCUUGUUUUACUUUUUUUGUGUUUUCCGGUCUCCCUCUCUCCUCUCUCAGUUCUCUCUCCUGUGUCUCUCUCUCGGACCUCAUCUCUCUCCCUUGCUGCAACUCCUUUUCCCUGAGCAACACACAGCCACGCCAUCUGCUGAGGACAUCACCAUCACAACCUCUGCAAUUUCCUUUCGGCGAGCACCGCCCCUUUCGAGGCCAUUUCCGGACAAACUACAGUGAGUUGGCCAGCGUGUAAGGUAUCAAUCUCUUCAUCUCGCUGAGAACUACAACUUUCCUUUUUGUUUCACUCAAUUUCGUUGAGUAUUGAAGAAGUUAUACUCAUUUGAAUCUUACCCAGUUUCCGGCGACCUCCGAGGCUUUCGAGGCAUUUUCCGGCUAAACCAUGGUGAGUUAGACGUCGUGUGAGGUACCAUUCUCUUCGUCUCUUCAAGGGCUACAACUUUCAUUUUUGAAUCACUUAAUUUUGUGGAGUUUUGACAAAGUUAUGGCCAUUUAAAAUGGGUGUGGAUUUCCGGCCGAAUUUCCGGCUUUCUCUCCCAUUGGGUCCGGCGACCCACCAAACCCAAGGCCUUUGGCCCUUCCCUGCCAAGCCCAACCCUUUUGGUUGUGAGGCCUUUGGGCUGUUAGUGCGUGUGUGUGUGUUUGUGUAGUAUGUGGGAGUGUGUGUGUGAGUGUGUGUUGUGUGUGGAUUUGGGCUUAAGCCCAAACCACCCCUUUUGUACUUAACCUAUCCAAAACCAAAACCCAAUAGGUCAUAACCCUUUUUAACCUAAGCCUAGACCCUAAUCCAGAUUCAAGCCUAAAACCCAUUUGACCUAGUUUGACCGUUGACCCCCGGUCAAUGUUGACAUUUCGGGUUUUUGUCCAGGACCCUUCUUAGGGUAAUUCGAUGUUCUGAAUCCGUUUCCAAUGUCUGUUUUUCCAAAUUCAAUUGCUAUUAUAUAGUUUGAUUUAUUGUACAUUUUUGUAUUUAGGGGCAAUUAUUAUGACUUUUCCAUCUUCGCUUGUGGCGCAGCUUUUGGCAUCUAAGUAUUGUGAGUGGACCCCUUCUAAAAUUUCAUGAUUUUAUAGUUUAAUUGCAUAAAUGAUUAGCAUGCCUACGAGUUUAUGAUUUGAUUUAUGUGAAGUUUGUUUAUUAAAUAUAUUGAUUUUCGUCUCGUGUUUUUUGUGAGGAAUCAAUUGUUGGCCCAUAUUGAGCUAUAUUUUGAUAUAUCGUGUUUUUAUAAAAACCAUGAACUGGUAGACUAUCUGAUGGAUGACGAUAGGAUGCUAGAACAUAUUUUCAAAACCCCUAUUUAUAGUAUAGACGAUGGCUGACUUUAUACUAUGAAGUGGUUAUUUUUUAGAGGCAUAACUAUUUGUGCGUACCUAGUGGACACUAUGCCGCAUGGGGCGAGGAUCUGGUGUUGGCAGUUAGGCCAGGAGAAAUAAUCCCUAGCUACGGGCUAAGGGACAUGGAGCAGGCAUUGGGCCGGGAGUUGGUAAUCUCUGGCUACGGGAGCAGAGACCACGGAGCAGGCAUUGGGCCGGGAGUUAUAUUUGUUCAGUGAUCUUUCUAGCAGUACACCGCGCUUACGAGACGAUCUAUGAAACGUUUACUGUUUUGAUUUCCGCGAUAUGACUUUUGAGAUAUUUUUGGCAUGCUAAGAUUUUUAUUAAAUCCUUCACUUACUAUGCUAGUAGUUUUCACUAUUAAACUUUGGGGAUUAGUAUGUUGAUAACUGUUUUAUUAUUAUUGUAUAUAUGAACUUGGUCCCCUCACCUUUGUUUUGCGUCCCCAUUCAGGACUUAGGAUCAAGGCACCUAAUCCCGACGUCAAGACACUUCCGCAGCAGCAUCUUUGAAUCCUCUCGAUGUAUGACCCAUUUCUUUAUUCAUUCAAUUUUAUCUUAAUUCUUUUUAGUGAUUAGGUUUAGUUGUAUGCUCUGAACACGUUCCUAAAUUAUUAAUUCAUUGUAUUUUAAAUUCAUAACCCUUAUUUAUUUCUUAUUCUUAGCUUUUGUAUCAAUUAAUGGCUUUCGUCACCCUUGGGUGUCGGCCAUCACGUAUCUAUCCUGGUAUUUGGGGAAUAUCAGGGUCGGGGCAUGUCAGAAAGGAGAGUGGAUCAGAAGAGAGAGAGAGAGAGAGAGAAAUAUGAGAUGAUCGAAGGAGUAAGAAAAUUGGAGGAGUGAGAGCAAUGAUAGAGAUAAAAGAUAAGGGAUUAGGUGCGAGAGAAAAGGGAAGAGAGAAAUAGUGAUCUUUAAAAUUAAAAACUCUAAAAACACACUUUUGGUGUUUUUAUGACAUAGGCUAAUUCUUAAGUUAGUUUUGAGUCUAGUUUUUGAAAAGGUUCAUGUCAAACAAGUUUUUAACACUUAAAACUUGAAAACUGAUUUUGAGUUUAAAAAGUUGGAUUCAAAUUGAAUACCAAACAUGCCCCAACGAAUUCUAAUUGUGUAAAAUUGUUUAUAAAACUAGUACACUACGUUGCUAUUAUUGUUGACUAGCAGAGAGCACACAUUUUGUGAAUGUGAACAAUUUCUCUUAAUAAGUGUAUAUUUUAUUAAUAUUACAUAAUUACUGAUUUGUCCUCUUUAUGUAAAUAUUAUGUAUCAAAAGAGAGGGUAAAAUUGAAAAAAUAAGUAUAAAAAGAGGGUAAAAUAGGAAAAAUAGGGAUAUGGUUGUCAUUUUGUCAAAGGGUACAAAAUUACUAUUGUAUUAGCUAGUGACCACCAAGAUUAUGAGAGUGGAUCCCAAGGAUCUUCCAAUCACAUCCAUUCAUCUUGCAUCGUGGGAUCAAUUUUCGUCAGGUACUGUUCAUAUUCAAUUUUAAAUAAAAAAAUUUACAAUAAUUUCUGACCGCACAAUAUAUGAUGAACGAAUAUGAUUUGAGAAUUUUCAAGAUCUUUACAAAGAGAAUCCGACAAGGAUCCUUUCUCUUUUUUUCCCCCCAAAAUUCAUUCCAACCCAUGACCUAAAAUUAACCUAAAACCUAAAACUGAUAUGCGGGUCAAAUACCGGCCCAAUUUUAGACCACAAAACAAAAUGGGCCCCACCAACUGAGAUUGAAACCGGGGCUAUGAAACCCACUGCCCAAAUCGAACUCGCCUACGCGCUGAACGCGCUAGGCAUUUGUUGUGGGGUGACAAACCCACGUGGGGUUGUUCCUCCGGGUGUCAGACCAAUAAGUAGCCCAACGACUACUUUUCUUCAUCCAAUAGCCCAAUUUAAAUGGGUCGUUGGUUAAUCCAAUGGUCCAGGUUCAAAUUAUUUUUUUUUAGUUUUAUAUUGAUAUAUUUGUUGAAUCCAACGACUUAGAUCGAAUAUAAUCAAAUCUAACAGUAAAAAAAAGAUCUAAUGGUCCAAAUUUAAAUCCAAUGGCUAAAAUAAUUUAAAAAAAAUUAUUUAACUUAAAAUUCAACCAAAAACUUUAUAAAUACUUAUGUAUUUGUUUAAACAUCCACACAAAACUCACUUUUCUCCUACAAUUCUUCCAAUUUUUCUUUCUACCAUUUCUUCUCAUUUCCAAAUUUUUCAAGAUGGCAAAAGAGUAUGUUAGAGGUCAUAAUUGGACCUUUGACGAAGAUAUUGCUUUAUGUUUGGCAUGAAUUUCUGUUAGCGAAAAUGGUGUCGUCGGCACAAAUCAAAAUAGAAACGUUUUGUGGGGUAAAAACGUUGAUAAGUUCCAUGAAAACUCCAAUGCCGGUCGAAGGGAAGUUGGUGGUGUUUAUGAUUGGUGGAAGAUUAUCAACAAAGCAUGCACUUUGUGGAAGGGAAGCUUGGAGAGAGCCACGGUUGACAUGCCUAGUGGAAUGGGUGCCUCAGAAAUUGUGAGUUUCUUUGUUGAUAUUUUAGUUGUCAUGUACAUAAUAGUAUUUAGCAACUAAUUGUUUUUAUGUAUUUGUUGCAUAGGGUGACAAAGCAAUGGCAAUUUACAAGAAGAACUACACCAAAAAAUCAAGCUUUUAAGUUGCAUCAUGCUUGGAACAUCCUUAAGGAUUGUCCGAGGUGGCGAACCGAUGCGAACCAACAAUGUGGAAGAUUAUUUCAUAGUGAAGCCCCACCCCCAAAUGAUGUCAAUGAAGGUGUGAAUUUUGCCAACAAUGAAGGUGUCGAACAAAUGACCCUAACUUCUUCUUUUGUAAGGCCACCGGGUAGAGAUAAGCAAAAAGAAGCAAAGAGAAAAGGGAAGUCCCAAGAUGCAAUAUGUGCACAAUUUGCUAGCGAAAUUGCAAGAAUGAACAAAAAUUAUAUCUCUCGGCAAGAAGAAUCAGCCCAAAUGUGUUUGGCCAUGAAGGAAGAAGGGGAUAGGGAGCAAGAAAGGUUCGAAAUUAAUUUGAUGAUGGAGGACCUCGACAAACACACUCCAGAGAGGAAGAAAUACUUACAUGGUAAGCAAAAGGACAUUUUAUGAAGGAAUGACACAAGGAGUAUAUUUCAAGAUGAUGAUUUCAUCUCAAGACUAUCACCCAAGUCCAUCACCAAGUCAAAAUGGUGGAUAUCAUUAUUAAGUAUAUGUAGUUUAUGAGUUUUCGAUUGUGUUAAGUUUAUGUGGUUUAUUAAUUGUUUUUUUUUUUGAAGUUUAUGUGGUUUAUUAAUGGUCGUUUGUAUUAAGUUUAUGUGGUUCAUCAUGAUUUUCAUGUAUUGAUUUAGUGAUUUUUCAAAAUUUAUUGGAAUUUAAAUAUUUUUAGGUUAAAAUGUUCAUAAAAUUAAUUUAGGAUGGUCUACAUAAUUUUUUUUAAAAUAGUUAAUUUAAAAAAAAAUUAGCCUGAAUUCAUUCUUUGAUAAUCUCGGGCUAAAAUUUUAGGCCAAAAUGGUUGGAGCAGAAAAGCUGUUUUUUGGCUAAAACCUAAAUUUUCUAGGCUAAAUAUUUUUAGGUUUUAGGUCAGGGUUAGAGAUGAUCUUAGCUUCUAUGUUGUUGGCGUCUAGUGUAGAAUAAUUAAAAAUGUGAAUCUAAAAAAAACUUUUUUUCGAAGUCUUAACCUCAAUCUUCUAUUCUUAAAAGUUUAAGAUCACUAUAAUUAGUCUAGAAAAAUUCUAAGGAGAUUCUCUUAAAAGUAGAACUCUUUAUGUCUGUCACUUUAUGUUUUUUGCACAGUGUUUUAAAGUGUUCUUACAAGAAUUGACGUUAAACAAUAAGCAAAGUCGCGAAGAGUCCUACUUUUAAAAAAGUCACUUAGCAUUUCUCUCUGUCACUUUAUGUUUUUUGCACAGUGUUUUAAAAUGUUCUUACAAGAAUUGAUGUUAAACAAUAAGCAAAAUCGCUGAAAGUCCCACUUUUAAAAAAAUCACUUAGAAUUUCCCUUUAUACAAACAUGACUACAUGAGUUAAUUAAUAAUUAAUUUAAUUUCAUGUUUUUCUUAACUAAUAAUUAUUUAACCCAAACAUAUGAUUCUAGGGAGUUUUAACAAAACACUCCCAGUACUGUUCAUUUUUAAUGAAAAACCACAUUUUUACCUUUAACUGGCACUAUUCACUAUACCUUUAAAAAUGACUUUUCGUUAAAAGAGAAGUUUUUUGGAUUUUUCGUUAGUUUUCCUAUGAUUCUAUCCCUUGAAAAAAAAAUCAUAUUUUAUUUGAUGAAUGAGCAAAUGUAUAGUCAAUAGUGUGUUCUGAUGUGACCAGUACGUUAUAUUCAUACAAUAUGCAAUAUAUAGUCAACAUUGAAUAGCUAUAUCGCUUGUCCUUGCUUGGUAAAUCAAGGAUAAAUGAUCGAAACCAGAUCCCCUCUAGAGCAUGAGGACCGGAGCCUGCUGAGCAACCCAUCCGGAUUCUUGAAAUUUGAUCUAAUAGUUACAACUUGCAAUUAUUAUAAUUUUUAGAGGAACCCUCUACUUGUAGCUGUUGAAUCAAAUUUCAAAGACCCGAAUCCGAAUAGGUUGCUCAGCAUGCUCCGGUCCCCAUGCUCAGGAGGGGGUCCGGUUCCUAAAUGAUCAUAGGUUUUUUCAGCUUAUACCUAUAAACCGUGUCUGAUAAUUACAUAAAGCUACGAAGGGCAUUUGUGGAGAAAUUUUUAAUUGUAACAAGAACACAAGUGGUACACCACGUAUUUUAAUUGAAGUCUUUGUUAGACGAAGUCAACCGUUGGUGGUAACCAACACUUCUUGAAGAGUCGUGCUGUGCUUAGGAGUCUUAUCUCCUUGUUUAUAGGACUUCCUUUUUAAAUUAUUCUUCUAACUGAAACUGGUUGUUAUCUUUGUAGAUUUAGCCCCAGUUUGGGGUUGAGGUGAUUUUAAAAAAAGCUCCUAUGAAAAAAAGCUGGGAGUGUUUUUGGUGUUUGGUAAACUUAAAAAAAAGGGCUUAUUUUGGAAGCUGCUGUGAGAAUAAGCUGAAAUCAAAGGAAAAAGCUGAAGCUGCAAUUUGUAGCUUUGGAAAACUGGUUUUUUUCAAAGCACAUAUAACUACAGUGCUCCUUUAAUGAAAAGCUCCACUAUCAGACUGUUUUUUUUUUCCAAAAGCACUUUUACAAAAAAGCUUACCAAACACUCUGCUGAUUUAUUUCACAGCCGCUUAUUCUCACAGCACAGCCGCUUAUUCUCACAGCAGCUUUUUUUCAAAGCACAGCAAUACCAAACCAGUAUCUUUUGAAUUUUGAACUUUUGUGUAAGUAGGGUUAAUUCAAACCCUGAUCGUAAUCUGUAAGUGGUUAUAAGUACAUGCAUCCCACACAUUCAAGGAUAUGCAAUUGAAGUGAAAUCUCUGUGUUAUUAAGUUUUACAUGGUAUUGAGCCUUACUGUCUAACGACAACGAUCCAUAUUUGUUUUUCCUCGCUUCCAAUGGCUGAAAACAAUGGUGCUUCUUCUCAACCAUUCAAUCCCGUUUCCCCAAACAAUCCCACCUAUCCCUUUUCCUCCAUGACGUGGUAAACAUUAAGCUAGACAAGACCAACUACCCACUGUGGUUGGCCCAAAUCUUUCUUAUUCUCAAGAGUCGAGAUUUAAUGGGGUAUGUUGAUGGCACUCUGGUGUGUCCCUCGAAGCACAUGCCUGGUGUGGCAACUGUUAAUCCUGCCUAUACCUUCUGGAUGCAGCAGGAUUAAAUGAUCAUAAGUUGGAUCAAUGGCUCACUUACUGCAUCAGUUUUGUCUGUUGUGGCUAGCAAGCGAAGUGCUAGAGCAACCUGGGAAGCGCUCGAGCAGCGGUAUGCUUCUUUUUCACAAAAUAGGAUUUUAUUUUUGAGGAAUGAAUUGUUGCAGACAAAGAAUAGUGAUCUUUUGGUAGCCGACUAUUUGGAUCGCAUGAAUGUGAUUGUUGACAACCUUGCCCUAGCUGGGCAACCUGUGAGUGACGAUGAAUUAGUACAGAUUGUGUUGAACAAUCUUGGACCAGCUUUCGAGAUGACAGUCAGUGUUGCUCAAGCUUAUGAUACACCUAUCACGUAUCUGACUCUUGAGGUGUUAUUGUUAACCAUUGAAAGAAGAAUGUUGGAGCAUGCUGCUCCUAUGGUGGAACAAGCUUCUGUUACGGCCUUUGUUGCUGCAAGAAGACGAGGUGAAGGUCGUGGUGUUGGGCGCAGUGCUUCUCCUUUCAAUCGUGGUGGAACGUCGAAUCAACGAGGAUUCAACCCUCGUAAUAACAACAAUCAACGCUAUGCUUCUGGAAAUGGGGAACGAUGUGCUUCUACUGGUGAGCAUAUUAUCUGCCAGAUAUGGCAAACCUGGUCAUCCAGCUCUGGAUUGCUAUCAACGAAUAAACGCUGCUUUUGAAGGCCGCAUUCUUACCAAGCGUCUCUCUGCCAUGGUAUCGUUUCCUACUACUCUCAAUAAACAAAAAAAUGGCAAUUGGUUACUGGACAUAGGAGCCAAUGCGCACAUCACUCCGAAUCUGCAAAACCUGGUAAACCCGAAGAAGUAUAAUGGUAAUGAUAGUGUUGGUGGUGCAGGUAAAGACUUUGGUAUUUUGAUUGCACAUUAUGGUUCUAAUAAAAUUAAUAUUGAUGCUUGCUCAUUUAAUUUACAAGACAUCCUACACUGCCCUAAAGCCUCAACUAGCAUCAUUUCUGCCCACAAGUUUACAUUAGACAAUGACUGCUAUUUAUUAAUCUUCCCACAUUUUUUCCUUGUAAAGGACCUCAAGACCCGGAUGACGCUUUUUCAAGGGAGAUAUGAGAACGGCUUAUACCCGUUUUCAGGUGGCGGUUGACAACUUCCAAAUCAAGUUAAAGUCUUUGUAGGGGUUCGAGUUUCUGUUCAAAAAUUGCACGUCUUGGUCAUCCUGCCAGUUCAACAAUAAAGUUUUUAAUUGCAAAUAAAUUGGUUCCAGUUCAUGGUACCUCCAAUGUCACCUUUUGUCAGUCUUGUCCAUUAGGAAAGAGCACCAAGUUGCCUUUCAAAGUGUCAGUGUCUGUUUCCAAUUGUCUUUUGCAGCUUCUACAUUCUGAUGUUUGGUGUUCUCCAAUUAUUUCCAAUGAAGGUUUUCGUUAUUAUGUCCUGCUUGUUGAUGAUUACUCAAGAUAUUCUUGGAUUUUUCCCAUGAAAAAUAAAUCUCAAGUCUUUGAAAUAUUUAUCUAGUUUAAGGCCAAAGUUGAAAAUAUGUUCAAUUUAAAAAUUAAAGCCAUUCAAUGUGAUGAAGGUGGUGAAUACAAAAGAAUUGCCUUUCAAAAGUUUUUAGCACUUCAUGGGAUUUCUCAAAGAUUUUCGUACCCUAAACAUCCAGAACAAAAUGGACUUGCGGAGCGUAAAAACCGACACAUUGUUGAAACUAGUAUUGUGAUGCUUUCUCAGUCAUACAUACCUACUAAGUUUUGGUUUGAUGCUUGUUGUACGACAACAUAUUUGAUAAAUAGGUUACCAACCUGUUUGUUGUCUAACAAAUCACCUUAUGAGAAGUUAUUUCAUAAACCACCAAACUAUGAUAUCCUAAAAAUUUUUGGUUGUCAAUGUUUUCCGUGGUUGAUGCCUUAUACACAAAAUAAACUUCAACAAAAAUGCAAAUCAUGUGUUUUCUUACGUUAUUCAUUGACUUAUCAAGGCUAUAAAUGUAUGAAUUUGUCCACGAAACGAGUUUAUUUGUCUCGCCAUGUCCUGUUCAAUAAGGACUUUUAUCCUUUUCAAGGACUCACAUCUUUUUCUGAAAGCGUUCAAACACAUGGUACUUCUUCUUAACCAGAUCUCUUAUUUAAUUUUCCUUUACACACAUCUCCUUCUUUGACCACGAUACCUACUCCCAUACAAACACUCACUAUCCUUCCACCAUAAAUUUCAACCACAUCUGCCAUCCCACAUCGAAUAGUGACCCAACCUAAUCCUACAUCUUCACCUAGUCAAACUGACACCCCACAUGUAACCCAACCUAAUUCUUCACCUUCACCUAUUCAAACCGACAACACCCAUAUGACCUCACCUCAUCCUACUCCUUCACCAAUUCAACCUGACAACACCCAUGUGACUUUACAGCCUAGUAUUGUACGUUCAUCUCCAGUGUUGAAUGAGCAAGCUACAGUAAUUCAAGACCUCAUGCCAAUGCCUUACGUGGCUCCUAUUGAACCACCACACUCUAUGACCACACAUUCCAAGUCCGGAAUACACAAACCAAACCCUAAGUAUGCUAUGCAUGUGGCUAUUAAUGAUGUUCCUGUUGAGCCUACUUGUUUUACUCAGGCAGUUAAAUAUCCAGAAUGGAGACAUGCUAUGAUCCAAUAGUUUAAUGCCUUGAAGUAUUGUGGAACAUGGAGCUUGGUUCCAUACCGGCCAAACAUGAAUCUUUUGCCCAACAAGUGGGUGUUCAAAAUAAGGAGGAAUGUCGAUGGUACCAUUGAAAGACAUAAAGCACAUUUGGUUGCAAAUGGUUUCCAUCAACAACCUGGUGUGGAAUACACCGAGACCUUCAGUCCUGUUCUUAAACACAGUACCAUAAGACUUGUUCUAAGUUUUGCAGUAUCGAAAAAUUAGCAUGUUCGACAGCUUGAUGUGCAGAAUGCAUUUCUGCAUGGAUAUUUAAGUGAAGAAGUAUACAUGAGACAGCCUGCAGGGUUUGUUGACAAGCAGUUUCCUCACUAUGUUUGCAAACUGCAACGUUCCAUUUACGAGUUAAAGCAAGCUCCUAGGGCUUGGUUUCAACAUUUUUCAGAAUUUUUGCUUCAACUUGGCUUUCAAGAAUUAACAUGUGAUUACAGUCUCUUUGUAUUUAAUCAGAAAGGUGUGUAUCUCAUCUUAUUAAUCUAUGUCGAUGAUAUUCUACUGACUGGGAAUAGUAUUACCAAGCUACGAACCUUGUUUUCCAUGAAAGAUUUAGGACCAUUCCACUAUUUUUUGGGUGUUGAACUGAAGUAUUUUGGGAAUUGCAUGCAUCUCAGUCAAUCCAAGUAUGCUUUGGAUCUUCUCACACGCAUAAAGUUCAUUGAAGCUAAAGCCUAUAUCAACUCCAGUUUCCUGUGGCCAUAAGCUAAAUGCGUAUGAUGGUGAGGCAUAUGAAAAUCCAACACACUAUCAUAGUGUUAUUGGAGCAUUGUAGUACAUUACUAUUACUCAUCCUGAUUUAUCCAACUCGGUUAAUCAAGUAUGCCAGUUUAUGCAUGCACCCAAACUUGCUCACUAGAAGGCUGUCAAACGUAUUAUUCGUUACUUGAAAGCCACACAUACUCAUGGACUUCUCUACAAACCUGGAAAUGCUAGGCUGUUUGCGUUUUCUGAUGCUGAUUAUGCUGGUAAUCCAGAUACCAGACAUUCCACAGGUGGCUACUGCAUUUAUUUGGGUCCCAAUCUUGUUUCCUGGAGUUCAAAGAAACAGAAGAUAGUGUCUAGGUCUAUUGCAGAGGCUGAGUACAGACAGUUGACUUAUACUGCAGCUGAGUUAUCGUGGCUUCGAUCUUUUUUUAAGGAUAUACAUUUGCAUCUUUGUCAACCAACGAUUUGGUGUGACAAUGUUUCUUCCAUUGCACUUGCCUCCAAUCCUGUUUUCCAUUCGCGCACAAGACAUCUUGAGGUUGAUUAUCAUUAUGUUCGGGAAAAGGUUGUUCGUGCUGAAUUAAUAGUCAAUUACAUUUGUUCUUAAGAUCAGCUAGCUGAUCUGUUUACCAAAGGACUGUCAUCGUCACGCUUCAAGUUACUGGUAUCCAAGCUUCCUGUUCUUCCACCCCCAGUCAGCUUGCGGGGGGCUGUUUAGGCCUGGCAAUUCCUGACACGACACGACACGAAAUUAACAGGUGUUUGGGUUGACACGAUAACGAAACGGGUCGUUAUCGGGUAACCCGAUAAGCACCUGUUAAGAUAACGGGUUGGUUCGGGUAUACACGUGGGUAACACGAUACACGAUAAGCAGAAUAUUAAUUUAAUAAUUUUAUAACCCUAAAAAAAUACUAUAAUAAUUAUAUAUAUUAAUUUAACAAUUUUAUACCCUAUAAACUAUAAUAAUUAUAUAUAUAUAUAUUAAAUUAACUAUAAUAAUUAUAAUAAUUAUAUAUACUAUAAUAAUUAUACCCCCAAAAUAUUAACUAUAAUAGUUAUAUUUAUAUAUAUAUAUAUAUAUAUAUAUAUUAAAUUUUAAAUUAAAUUUUAUACCCCUAAAAACUAUAAUAAUUAUACAUACAAAAUAAAUAGAUUUAAAUCUACUUAAUAAAUAAAUAAAAUAUAUGUACACACACACACACCAUUGAACUUCAUGGGAUACGAAUUAUAAGAAACUAAUUUCAACGAUCAAACCGUCAAACUUGUUUGUAUAUGCUUCGAGAUCGCAUCAGCAAAAAAUUACAAAAAAAAAACAUUCACAUAUCAAGUAACGGGACAAAACCUUUCGACGGUUAUAAAUGAAAAAUCACGAUUUAACGGUUAUUUUAACUCCGAUUUUGAUGAUUUUUUACAGCUACACUCCUUUACCCUAUGUGAAUACAAUGAAUGAAUUCGAUCUUCAAUUUAAAAUAUUUACACUAGGGGAUACCAUAAAAUCUUAUGUUAUACUUGAUGAAAGUAUGAAUAAACUCUUAAGUGUUAGUGAAUCUAUUGUUUUGAUGGGAUACGCAUUCUACGAAACUAAUUUCAACGAUCCAACCGUCAAACAUGUUUGUAUAUACUUCGAGAUCGCAUACACCAAAAAUUGCAAAAAACAAACAUUCAGAGAUCAAGUAACGAGACAAAACCUUUCAACGGUUAUAAACGAAAAAUCACGAUUUAACGGUUAUUUUAACUCCAAUUUUGAUAAUUUUUUACAGCUACACUCCUUGACCCUGUAUGAAUACAAUGAAUGAAUUCAAUCUUCAAUUUAAAAUAUUUACACUAGUGGAUACCACAAAUCUUAUGUUAUACUUAAUGAAAAUAUGAAUAAACUCUCAAGUGUUAGUGAAUUUAUUGUUUUGAUGAGAUACGCAUUUUGUGAAACUAGUUUCAACGAUCCAACCGUCAAACUUGUUUGUAUAUGCUUCGAGAUCGUAUACGCCAAAAAUUGAAAAAAACAAACAUUCAGAGAUCAAGUAACGGGACAAAACUUUUCGACGGUUAUAAACGAAAAAUCACGAUUUAACGGUUAUUUUAACUCCGAUUUUGAUGAUUUUUUACAUCUACACUCCUUGACCCUAUAUGAAUACAAUGAAUGAAUUCGAUCUUCAAUUUAAAAUAUUUACACUAGGGGAUACCACAAAAUCUUAUGUUAUACUUGAUGAAAGUAUGAAUAAACUCUUAAGUGUUAGUGAAUCUAUUGUUUUGAUGAGAUACGCAUUCUACGAAACUAGUUUCAAUGAUCCAACCGUCAAACAUGUUUGUAUAUACUUUGAGAUCGCAUACGCCAAAAAUUGAAAAAAACAAACAUUCAGAGAUCAGGUAACAGGACAAAACUUUUCGACGGUUAUAAACGAAAAAUCAUGAUUUAACGAUUAUUUUAACUCCGAUUUUGAUAAUUUUUUUCAGCUACACUCCUUGACCCAAUAUGAAUACAAUGAAUGAAUUCGAUCUUCAAUUUAAAAUAUUUACACUAGUGGAUACCACAAAAUCUUAUGUUAUGCUUAAUGAAAAUAUUAAUAAACUCUCAAGUGUUAGUGAAUAUAUUGUUUUGAUGAGAUACGCAUUUUGUGAAACUAGUUUCAACGAUCCAACCGUCAAACUUGUUUGUAUAUGCUUCGAGAUCGCAUAUGCCAAAAAUUGCAAAAAACAAACAUUCAGAGAUCAAGUAACGGGACAAAACGUUUCGACGGUUAUAAAUGAAAAAUCACGAUUUAACGGUUAUUUUAACUCCGAUUUUGAUAAUUUUUUACAGCUACACUCCUUGGCCCUAUAUAAAUACAAUGAAUGAAUUCGAUCUUCAAUUUAAAAUAUUUACACUAGUGGAUACCACAAAAUCUUACUUGAUGAAGUAUGAAUAAAAUCUUUAAGUGUUAGUGAAUCUAUUGUUUUGAUAGGAUACACAUUCUACGAAACUAGUUUCAACGAUCCAACCGUCAAACAUGUUUGCAUAUACUUCGAGAUUUCAUAUGCCAAAAAUUGAAAAAAACAAACAUUCAGAGAUCAAGUAACGAGACAAAACAUUUCGACGGUUAUAAACGAAAAAUCACGAUUUAACGGUUAUUUUAACUCCGAUUUUGAUGAUUUUUUACAGCUACACUCCUUGACCCUAUAUGAAUACAAUGAAUGAAUUUGAUCUUCAAUUUAAAAUAUUUACACUAGUGGAUACCACAAAAUCUUAUGUUAUACUUAAUGAAAGUAAGAAUAAACUCUUAAGUGUUAGUGAAUCUAUUGUUUUGAUGAGAUACGCAUUCUAUGAAACUAGUUUCAACGAUCUAAUCGUCAUACUUGUUUGUAUAUGCUUCGAGAUCGCAUACGCCAAAAAUUGCAAAAAACAAACAUUUAAAGAUUAAGUAAAGGGAUAAAACUUUUCGACGGUUAUAAACGAAAAAUCACAAUUUAACGGUUAUUUUAACUCCGAUUUUGAUGAUUUUUUACAACUACACUCCUUGACCCUAUAUGAAUACAAUGAAUGAAUUCGAUCUUCAAUUUAAAAUAUUUACACUAGUGGAUACCAUAAAAUCUUAUAUUAUACUUAAUGAAAGUACGAAUAAACACUCUAAUGGGUCACUUUCAUUAAGCUUUUAGUUCCAUUGGCAAGGUUUAAACUUUUGAGAAAGAUUUCACAACCUUGAAAACAAAAAUGCUUUCAUUUUGCAUAUCCUUGCACAUUUAAUAUUUGUAAUAGAUUAGUAGUGUAUGAAUGUAUUUUUUAUGAGGCUCUUAUUUUUUAGUGUAGAUGUAAUACUUAAACGACAAAUGUGUUUUAAUGUUUUGAAGUAAUAUUUAUGUAACAAUGUGUGGCAUGUGCAAAUUUAAGAAAAAAAAAUAUUUUUCUUAACGGGUCAUAACGGGUCGGGUCAUUUUACCCGUUGGGUAAAGUGACCUGACCUGUUAAGGACCCGUUAAGAUAACAGGUGUGACACGACACAACCCGUUAAGAUAACAGAUGUUACACAAAAACGACACGAACACGACUGACACGACUCGUUUGCCAGGCCUAGGGCUGUUAGACAAAGUCAACCGUUGGUGGUAACCAAUACUUCUUGAAGAGUCGUGUUGUGCUUAGAGUCUUAUCUCCUUGUUUAUAGGACUUCCUUUUGAAUUAUUCUUCUAACUGAAACUGGUUGUAAUCUUUGUAGAUUCAGUUUGUAUCUUUUGAAUUUUGAACUUCCGUGUAAAUAGGGUUAAGUCAAACCCUGAUUGUAAUCUGUAAGUGGUUAUAAAUGCAUGCAUCCCACACAUUCAAGGAUAUGCAACUGAAGUGAAAUCUUUGUGUUCUUAAGUUUUACAGUCUUGAGAAAUUUUUUUUUAAGUUAUUAAAAAUUUUAGCAUACAUAUCCCAUCAUUUGUAUAAUAACACGUGAUAUACUAUCUCAUAUAUUGAUUACACUAAAAAAAUCUCUCGGCAUUUGUGGCAAUGACAACCAUGGGCUAUCGCCAUUUACUGUAAGGAGUCCUUCGAGGUGUCGGGCUCCAACCCAUUAAACAGGGAACACACACUUUCAUGAUUCCAUCUUUUCAUGGAUACUGGUAAAAGCUUUUGUAAAUUGUGACCAUGAAUAUGCAUGCAGUUUCUCAAACUAUCCACGUAGAGAUGUGAUUUCAUAACCUACAGUUGCGGGUUUACUAUUCAUUAUCUUCCACACAUAUGUUUGAUUGGGCAAAAACUUCGGAAAAAGAUCAUCGACGGAUUCUUUUUUCUGGAGAUUUUAAGGAUUCUGUGAUCAAGAUCCAUUGUAAAUCUUGUAGUAAAAAAUUAUUUUACAAUUAAAAAUUAAAUGUAAACAGUACUUAACAAAAAAUAAUCACACGAUAUAUAAUUAAAUGAUCGUGAUCAUAAAAUCCCUAGAAUCUUAGAAAAAAUAAAAAUAUAAUGCGAGAGAAUCCUACUUCAGAAAGAUCCUUUUCCAAAAGCUUCCUUCUCUUGGACAAGACUGAGGCCAAGGUCAAAUGUUAUUGAUUGAGAUGCGAAAAGAUAACCUCCAUUUUUCCAAAAAAAUUUAAAGGUAAUUUUGAUUACUUAAUUAAAGGUGAAAAGGCAAAAGGAGCUAAUUGUACGAGGACAUGUGUGGAUUGUAUAUCAAUCAACAAACAACAUUUCAUUUUACUUUUUUUACAAUCGAAAUUUGUCAUCAGUCGAUGAGAUUCUUGCUUCCAUGGAAGCAACGAAGAAGAAAGAGGAAAAACUCUCCAAUUUUAUUAUAGUUUUUAGAUAACUAGUAAUACCCUAUGUGCUUUUGGAAUAUUGUUAUUGUAUAUUACUCUUUGAGCAGAAAGAGUUUCAUUUAGCAUUUUUUUCAUGUGUCCGUUUUAUGUGCGGUAGUUAUUGAUGUUUGCGCUUUUGGAUCCGAUCAAUCUUAUAAAUUUAUAACAAAAAUUAAAUUGCAGUGUUUGUAUGACACUUAAAUUAGGUCUUCUUAGGUUUCACUAGGAGAGAGUUUGCACGAUGUUCGUGUACGGCGAUUGGUGUCAAGUUACCUUGAUCUUGUGUUUGUAGUUCUACGGGCAUAGGUAAGUGGUUGUUUGGUCCAACUAAUCCACUUUGUUGGAUACAUUUUCAGCUGAUGGUUCAGGCUGGUUUCACAGCAUGUGGAAGUCAUGGUUGCAUGCUUUGUCAUAGGGUUGACGCUCACUACACAGCAAUGGUUGAAUACUAACAAGUUUGUGGGCGGAAGAUCCCCCUGAUUUGCUUAGGGAUAUUUUGUAAUUUGCUUAUGUAUUGACAUUUGAGGUGCGUCCUUUCGUCGUGCAGGACACUCUUUUUUCUUUGACCGAGUUGAAAGCUUCGGCAAAGUUUUAUUGAGGCCCACUGUGCACACUAUCCUCAGUUUGUUCUCAAACUGUACUUGUUCUAUGUUGUUUGAAAUGAAUAUCGAAUAUCUUCUUUCUGUCAACAAAAAAAAAAAAGAAAAAUUAGUUUGGACUUCUUGUGUUAGAACUAAUGUUUUUAACAUGGUGUAUAAACUUAAAUAUCCCAUAUAUUUUUUUCAUCUACUGUAUAAAAAACGAAAAAUACAUAUGUUAAUCACUUAUACAAUACAACCAAAUGAGAAUAAGAAAAUUUCAUAAUUUGAACAAAUUAUGGGAGAGUCCAUAUGCGCAUGAUUUCUGACUUAGUAAUGUAGGGCAUAGUUGGCCGGCAGCAAAAAUUUAAUAGCUUAGCAUAAGCAAAAAUUAUAAUAAAAGGAUAACUGGAAUCGCUCCAGGGGUCUCUCACCCGUCAUUGACCUUUCACCAAGAAUUUUGGCAUCUAUCCCAUCUCAGGGCUAGAAUUUUAAUCUCUGGAAGGCAUAGCUUUUCUAUUAAACUCUUCAUUAUUUGUUAAUCUGAAUUACAAGCGAAUUUUAUAAAGCCUAAAACCUAAUGACCGCAUGAAGGUAAACUUAUUAUAGUAAAGAAAUCAUAAUCCAAAAUAGAAUGGGACACUAUAUCUAAUCCUAUUCAAACUGGAAAGAAUUAUAGAGCUCGUUGAAAGUACUUUUAAAAUGACUGAAAGUGCUUUUGAUAAAAAUGAUUUUGGAACCAAUGCUUAGUAAAAAUGCAAGUAAAUUCUGAAGAAAAAAAAAACAUUUAAAUUGUUUUAUGAAAUAAGCAUAUAAUUGGUGGUUCUUAUAGUAAGCACUUUAAGUGCUUUUGAAACCAAAAAAUAUUUUAUUUAAAAGCGUUUUUAAUCAUUUUAAAAAUAUUUUAAAAUCAACGUAACUAACCCCCUAGAUAUUAAACUACUAAGGACUAAAGAUUAAAAAGGCUAAAUACCCUUUAAAUAAGGAAGUCACCACUCGUGUUCCACGUGGCUUAGCUAUUACUAAUUUACUAUCACCAAUAAUUGAUGAAAGAUAAUAUCAAAAUAGAGGCAUAGAGUCAGCUAAUCUUUUAUUUUUUUGGUGAACAGAGUCAGCUAAUCUGGAACCUCUCUUUUUCAUGUAAAGUUCCUUAUCGACGAAGAAAAAUGUGCUAUAUAUUAUUUAUUCGUGUGUUUCAAAAGUGAAUAGUCUCUUUAGUAAGGUGGUGACCUUAAAUAAACUUGAGGUGCAAUUGUAAAAUUAAUUGGUAAAUAAUGAGUAGUUCACUUCUUUAUAAGGAAAAUUAAUGAAAAGGGUUUUUGAAAACUUUGAAUUUUAAAGAUAAGGACAUAAUAAAGGGUAAAAUGAAAAGUACAAGGUUUGACUUUUUAGUGUAAAAAUGUGGUUUUUCGUUAAAGUGAACAGUACCGCGGGUUUUUCAUUAAAACUUCAUUCUUUAUAAGCUCUUGUAUGAUUUGAUUUCUCAUCGAUGUGAGAUUUUGUCUUUACAUUCUCACACUCUUCUCGCACUUGAUGAAUUUUAAAACCUAACACGUAGACAAUACAAAUUUGGUGACGUGGAACAAGUGUGGUCAUUGGACUUCAAAUGUGGACUAAUAUGGAGAGUAGUCUAACUCUUCAUAAGCUGUUUCAUGAUUUGGUUAAUCACUGAUGUGGGACUUUGUCCUCAUAUUCUCACACGCUCCCUUAUGUGGUGAAUAUUCAGGCUUAACAUAUGAACAUAAAUUGAAUGACAUGGGGUAGGUGUGGCCAUCAAACUUCAUACAUGGACCAACCUGCUUUAAUACGAUGAAAACAAUUAAGGUUCCACCAUAAAACUAAUUGACAAUAUAAAAAGUAAUCAAACUGUUUAUAAGCUCUUGCAUGAUUUAGUCUCUCGCUACGUGAAACUUUUUCAUCGUAUCCUGACAAAUCUUGCUCAUAAUUAAUUUGAUAGUUGCGGUUCUGACGAACGGUGGGUUUUAGUAGGGGUGGGUUCUUCGUUGCUCCUUCACAGGGCGCAUCAGGUUCUGUUUCCAUGUGCAUAAUAAGUUGCUGCCAUGACAAACACUCAAUCUUUUCAACUUCAUACUCUUCAGAGCAUCACCGAGAAUGAGAACAAGAUAAAGUUGUUAUUUGGCAGGGUAGGCUAAAAUUGGUCUCAUGAUAUGUACAUAGUAUAUUUUGUAAAAAUGUGGAGUGUUGGUCCAUAUCGUAAGGUUAAUAAACUUUGUUAAUUUGUUACAUAGUGCAUAAAAUCUCAAUUUUCUUUAAAGUAUCAAAGUCGGUUGAAUCACAUGUUUAAUUCUUCUAUCGCAGUAUGAGAGUUAAUUGAACUACAUGUUUGUUUUGAAUGUCACUGAACAUGAGAGAGUCUGUGAGUAUGUAAAGGGUUGAUCCACAUCAAAAAGUUAAGAAACUGUUGUGAUUUUAGGUUGUCCUGGAAGAUGCGUUUCACCAUUUGAUGUAGCUCGUAUGGGAAGCCAAACUUUUUCUUCUUUUGCUAACUUUUUUUUUUUUUUUUUGUUGAAGAACAAGGAAAUUCAUUCCAGGCUAAGAAGCCAAGAAGCUACAGGAAAGCCUACAAAGAGGCAAACACCAAGAAAGACAGACCAGGACAAAAGCUGUGAAAGGGAAUGCAACCUCAAGGGUCAAGACACUUGCACCAAGUGAAAGCAUCACCCCAAACAUCAUCACAGCUAAAUUAAUACGGACACGGAAGAUCAUCAUUGUUCAAAACAUAAAUCAACAAAAACAGGGCUGAUCGACUCAAACAGAUUCAUUCAUCUCUGAAAAAUCAACCGACGCAAGCACAUGCGCUGUCCCAUUGGCCGAGACCAGGGACAGUUCUGGAAAACCACCCCCCCCCCCCCCCCCUAUUUUAGGGAUUCUCCUUCUCUUAGAGCAACUCCACCCAUGGAGCCCUGUCCCCUGGCAAUCCACUAUUCAAUCCACCCUAUUGAACAAUAACUGCCUUAAAUGAAUAGUAAUUACCAUUAAUGAACAGUAAUUGCCAUUUACAUCUCCACCCUUAGAACCCUCCCCUGGCAAUAAGCAAUAAAAAUAAUAGUUUUUUAUGUUUGUUUAAAUAAUAAAAAAAUUACAAAAGCUAUCUCUCUCUCUCUAACACAAAAAAAAUAAAAAAAUACAAAACCCUCGGGCCACAGGCCCGUCGACUCCCCACCCCCCCUUCGCUCGACCUCCCACCCUCACUCGGGCCCUUCCCCGCUGGAUUUGCUCCCACCGGCCCGAGGGCCCUUUCUCCUCGCCUGACGCCCGAGCAACCAGCAAGGCUGGAGUUGCUCUUAUUCAGGUUGACAUCGGAGUCGGCAUCCCUUAAUGAUGUUAACAUCGGAGUGGUUGCCCUUCUCUUAAUGAUGUUCGGAGUGAUGUUGACAUCGGAGUGGUUGCCCUUCGCUGAAUGAUUUGACAUCGGAGUGGUUGCCCUUGUCUUAAUGAUUGUUGACAUCGGAGUGGUAUGGAAUCUUUGACUAAGAAAACCCCAGCAAACGUUGCCGGGUCCAACUCCACCAACCGACAGACAAAUAAAAGUGAUGGUGGGACUUGUGGAUGAGAAUAGUUUGUCACAUACCAAUUAAUUGAGUGAGUAAGAUAAAUUACAUUUAAUUAAUUAGUUAUUUGCCACAAUAACACAAAGUUUGUUGGCUGAUUUUUAAUUGAUAAUUACAUGUAAUUAAUUAGUUGUUUGCCACCACCCGAUAACACUCAUACUCUCCCACUAUUUCGAUUGAUAAAAGUAAUUCGUGGAUUGUUUUGUGGUCCCCGUGACAGUACCUAGUAAUAUAUAUCCUUCGGAUAAGAAUCUUUUUAUUUAUUUAUUUUUUAUGAGAAAUCUUAAAAUUCUUACAUUGUGAUCGUUCAUUAUACAUCAUACAAUUAGUUUUCGUUAGAUCUUAUUUGUGUUUAAUUUUAAACAAAAUAAUUUAUAAUUGCACGAUAUACAAUAAAUAGUUAAGAUGUGAGAAUUUCUAAAAUUCCCACACUUUGAAUGCGAUGGAAUCCAAAUCCAUAUCUUUCAUCCACGUGAGAACCAGCUGGUCUGCAUAUGACUUGGACCAAAUACUUAAUUUACAGUUCCUAGCUAGUUAUUAUUUGGCAAAUAAUUUCUUUUCGUAUGAUUCUUCCUCAUUUGACCUCAACCUCUUAAACUUGUAAAUCUCCCACGAGUCCCGACAUAGUUGUGCCCUACUUUUAAGCGCGGUUAAAUUAUUUUUCAACCCAUUAGAAUUUCAGGUCAUGGCAAUUAUUUUAAGGAAAACUAAUGAAAAUGGCUUGAAAACUUUGAAUUUUAAUGAUAAGGACAAAAUAAAGGGUAAAGUGAAUAGUACCAGGAUUGACUUUUUAAUGUAAAAAUGUGGUUUUUCGUUAAAAUGAACAGUACCGGGAGCUUUUCGUUAAAGUUUCCAUUAUUUUAUUGUUUGAAUGUAGGAAAAGUUGAAAUAUGACAAUCUGGUAAAGUAAUAUAAAUAUUAUAGUUUUCCGAGAUAUGUGUGCAUACAAAGUUACAACCACACAUCACGUGUUUGAUUAUUUCAGUUUACUAUAUGAUCGUAAUUUGUUUUUAAUUAAUAUAGUAAAAAUUGAAAUUACACAAUAAAAUUAAUUGGGAAUUUUAAGUCUAAACUUGGACAACGAAGCACGCAACUAUUCAGGUUCACACAUGCCUAAAAAUAUCUUUAAUAUCAAGAAGAAAAUUAAAAUUUAACCAUAAAAUUAAUUCACAAUAUAAAAUGUAGCUGAACUUUUUAUAUAGAAGCGCAUACAAUAUUUUUUUCCCGUUAAGAUUCUCUCCUAGCAUCAUAUUACUGUAUGUAUUUAGGAUAGGUUAAACAAAAGUAAAAGGAUACUCGAUGGACUAUGACCUUUUAUAUAAAAUGCAGGGCAUAUAUUUUAUGCAUAAGGUUCGAAAACUGUUGACCUUGUUAACAAUGAAAGUCUCUUUUCCUUAAUUGAUGGAUCUCGCAGAUUGAUACACUUUUGUUGUGUGAUUAUUAACGUAUUAGCUGAUCAAUUGAUGCAUGUGGUCCUUCGUUACAAUCAAUGAUGCUUGUUUAAAAUAAUAUUAGGCUGGCACAACUUUGUAAUACUACUUGAUUUAUUAUAUUAUUAUUUUGAUUUCACACGAUGAUUUGUUAUCCAGAGCGUUAGAGGCAAGACAUAGUACCUUAGAGUUUAGGAUUGUUUAAUUUAAUUUUAAUAUGAGGUGAUAAUAAAUCACUCACCCACUAACAUAUGGUUUUAGGAUGAUAAAUCCUAACAGCAGCAAAAGGAAUGUAGACCGUCGACUUAAUCCAUAUGUACCCCUCUGCUUGCUAUUUUGUUUGUUGUCUAUUUCUCUCUCCCUUUUUUGGAAGGGAAUUUUGCUGUUCCCAUGAAAUGGUAUUACCAAUGGAGGCAGAUUGACUGCCCUCCUGGUUGUGGUGUCCUUCCAUGCCUUUUUAUUUGUACUGUCACGAUAAAGUUACGUUAAUAUUUUAUAUUUUUAUUGUUUUUUGUCUUAUUAUCUUUAUUAAAAAAUUAAUAUAAAAUGUUGACGUAGCUUAACCGUGACCGUAAAAAAUAAGAGGGCAUGGAAGGGCACCACAACUAGGAGAAAAAAGCGUGAGCCGUUAUUAAACAUUAUAAAGUUGAUGAUUAUCAAUGGCGGAUGCAUACUCUCUUCGAAUUCCUAAAAAGCACACGCAAUGUCAAUUUUAUUUUUAGGAAAAUUAACGAAAAGUAAAAAAAAAUUAUCUUUUAACGAAAAAUCAUUUUUAAUGGUAUAAUAAAUAGUAACAGUUAAAGAUAAAAAUGUGAUUUUUCAUUAAAAGUAAAUAGUAUCAAGAGUAUUUUAUUAAAAUUCCUUCUUUUUUUUUCAAUUUAAAUAAGACAUUUUAUUGAGCACUUGACCAGCUGCCAAUAUUUCGUGUUAUUUUAAUUAUAUAUUUAAGAUCAAUAUUUUGAUUCCUGCUCAGACCAAUUUUUUUAGACCAAAACUUGAGGAGGCACGUGCCCACUUUGAUCCUUGCCAAGAUUUGACCCUCAUCACUGGCAGGGCCGCUUCAGAUCGAUGGCCAAAUAAAAAAAGAAGGCAGAUUCUCUGCCCUCUCAUUUCUUGUGUCAUUCUGUGCCUUUUUGUUUAUAUGAUCACAGUUAAGUCACGUUAAUAUUUUAUAUUAUUAUUUAUUUUUAUCUUAUUAUAUAUAUAAAAAAUAAUAUAAAAUAAUGACGUUACUUAACCGUAACUAUACAAAACAGAAGAAUAUAGAAAAUGAAAGGGCAGAGAAUCUGCCUUCAAUAAAAAUACAAGUAGAUAAGCCAUCUGAAAAAAUAAUUGUACGUACAUAAAUAAAUAAAUAUAUACAUACACACACAUAGCACACAAGUAACUCCAAAUCCUUGAUAUAUUUCGGAUCAAAACUCACCAAACGUCCCACGAGCAUACCUCACCAAACGUCGCUCACCCCUAGCAUUAACCAAAGCAACGAAGGAAAAACAACAAGGUUAGGAGAGGAAGGAUCACAUCACUAAUCACGCUCUUGUUAAGAUGUAGGGUAGACUUCUUAAAAUAAUAAUACCGACAUUUGAACCACAUACAAGUGCAAGUUUCUUACCUAAGUGAGGGUGAUGCUCAGUCUCCUAUUUUAAAGUAAGAGUGAAGCUCAACCUUAUUAAUUAUUGUUAAAUUAGUUUAAAUUUUAAAAUUCAUAUUUUAAAUCAAUUAAACUAAACUAAUUUAACGGUAAGUAAGAGUGAACAUCACCCCAUUUUAGAGAUGAACAAAGUUGCACUCAUGUUUUAAUUAGCAGCCAAGCUGGGGUCCACAACUUUAAACGUAUGGUUUGUAGAUGUGACACAUAAACAUCGUUUCUCCAGUACAAAAUUGUCACCUUUCGCAAGAGAUAUGAUUUAUGUAAUAUCCAAUUAUUAACAUGAAGUUCCAAUAUAUUCAUUUCGUAAAUGUGAUAAAGAAAAUAAGAGGUAAUAUUUUUUUCCGAAUUCGGACGUUGAAUCCUUUUUAUGAGGAUUUUAAAGAACUGUGAAUUAUAUUCGUUCAUUGUAUAUCAUAUAAUCAUAAAUUAUUUUAAAUACAAAUAGUACCUGACAAAAACUGACCGCACGAUAUACGAUGAACGAAAAUGAUUUACGAUUCAGAAUUCUCAUCAAAAGAAUCUAGGGUCAUGUAGGUUUUUUUCCUUGGUCAAAAAAAAAUAUAACAUUAUAAUAUUUAAUUGUUAAACGUGUUUCUCCCACCCAAUUAUUCAAGCAUCAUAUUUCUUGGAAUUAUCUCUCUCUCUCUCUCUCUCUCUCUCUCUCUCUCUCUCUCUCUCAUUCAUUUUUAUGCGUACUCAAUGAGUGGUAAUGGAGUAGGUGCUCCAAUAUUAAUUAUGCAUACACAUUUUUAGUGUGCGGUCCCUCUGGUUUCCACUAUAAAAACAUCAUACUCCCCUUUCCUUCUGAAUUGCAGAGUGGAAAGGAAAACUAAUUCAGCCAUGGCUUCAUCUCCUUUACCAUCAACUUCUACAAUGGCCGCCGUGCACUCCACCACAACCACCCCCUUCCGCUCUCCUUUAUUCCCAAACAAGUACCAGACUUCAUUGCAACGAAAACCCAAACAAUGCCUUGCAGGCAGAGUGCGCUGUAAAGCAACAAAAGGUGACAAUGAAAACCUAGACCAGGGCCUAGCAAGACUCGACAGGAGGAACAUGCUGAUAGGUUUAGGCGCUGGGGGUCUCUACGGUGCAGCAGGAAACCCAUUUGCUUUUGCAGCACCGGUAUCCGCCCCAGAUCUGACCACGUGUGGUCCUGCCGACAAGCCAGACGGGUCCACCAUCGAUUGUUGCCCACCCACCACGACGACCAUCAUCGACUUCAAACUCCCUGACCGAGGCCCACUCCGCACUAGGCUCGCUGCCCAGGACGUUGCAAAAAACCCUGCAUACUUGGCCAAAUACAAAAAGGCCAUCGAGCUGAUGCGGGCACUUCCAGACGACGACCCGCGCAGUUUCGCCCAACAGGCCAAAGUCCACUGCUCUUACUGCGAUGGUGGAUACCCACAAGUCGGAUACUCGGAUUUGGAGAUCCAAGUUCACUACUGUUGGCUCUUCUUCCCGUUCCAUCGUUGGUACCUCUACUUCUACGAGAAAAUCAUGGGGGAGCUCAUUGGGGACCCAACCUUCGCCCUCCCCUUCUGGAACUGGGACGCACCAGCUGGAAUGUACAUUCCUGAGAUUUUCACUGAUACGUCGUCAUCCCUCUACGACCAGUAUAGAAAUGCAGCGCAUCAGCCCCCGAAGCUCUUAGACUUUAAUUACAGCGGGACCGACGAUAACGUCGACGACGCAACACGAAUCAAAGAGAACUUAACAACAAUGUACCAGCAGAUGGUGUCAAAGGCCACUUCUCACAGACUCUUUUUUGGAGAGCCCUACAGCGCAGGGGACGACCCAAGUCCUGGUGCCGGAAACAUUGAGAGCAUUCCCCAUAACAAUAUUCACUUUUGGACUGGCGACCCAACCCAGACAAAUGGGGAGGACAUGGGGGCCUUUUACUCUUCGGGGAGGGAUCCGCUGUUUUACUCCCACCAUUCCAACGUCGACCGCAUGUGGUCUAUAUAUAAAGAUAAGUUGGGAGGUACGGACAUAGAAAAGACUGACUGGUUGGACACGGAGUUUUUGUUCUACGACGAGAAAAAGAAUCUUGUGCGCGUCAAGGUUUGUGACUCGCUCGACACGAAAAAACUCGGGUACGUGUACGAUGAGAAAGUCCCGAUCCCGUGGCUGAAAUCGAAGCCGACAACUCGUAAGUCGACGAAUAAGAGAAAGGCCGCAGUUUCAUCUUCUGAUCUUACUACAACGUUCCCUGCUACACUGUCGGAUACAAUCAGCGUCGAGGUGACGAGGCCAUCUGCGACGAAGCGGACAACUGCCCAGAAGAAGGCGCAGGACGAGGUGCUGGUGAUUAAGGGGAUUGAGUUUGCCGGGAAUGAGACUGUGAAGUUCGACGUGUAUGUGAACGAUGACGCGGACUCACUGGCCGGGAAAGACAAGUCGGAGUUUGCUGGGAGUUUUGUUCACGUGCCGCAUAAGCAUAAGAAAAAUAUUAAGACGAACCUGCGGCUGAGCAUUACAAGCUUGUUGGAGGAGUUGGAUGCGGAGACAGACAGCAGUUUAGUGGUGACUUUGGUGCCAAAAGUUGGGAAGGGGCCAAUCACCAUCGGAGGGUUUAGCAUUGAGCUCAUUAAUACUACCUAAGUAUUAUUUAAUGUUAUUGUUGUCCUUGUUGGGUUGGCUUAUUCGUGUUUUUCUAGCCAAGUAAUCUUGAAUGUAAUGUGCUCAUCUACUACUUAUGUGGCAAAUGACGGUUGGUGUUCCUCGUGAAUAAAAGCACUAUGUGUUUCGGUGUGUUUAUUUAUUGAAUAAAGAAUUGAUGGUAGAUAGAGUUUAAUCAUAAUUUUCUAGAAUUAUUGAUGGUAGAGUUCUCAAAAAAUUAAGAGCAUGUUUGGUAUCUCAUUCAAAAAAAUUCAUCAUUGUACAAAACAUUUCUUAAAAAUAUGUCUUAAGAAUAAUUUUCUUUAACAUUCAAAAACUUAUUUAGUAUGAAAUUCACAAUUGUUUUUAAAAGAAAAAAAAAACUCAUCCUAUAGAUUGUUAACUUUUUCUUUUAAUUUGAGGGAUUCUCCUUCUCUUAAUGAUGUUGACAUGGGAGUGAUAUGGUUCGUGAAUUUUGACUAAGAAAACCCCUGCAUUCAUGAGUCAUGAUUCAUGACAAACGUUGUUGGGUCCAACUCCUCCAACCGACGUACAAAUAAAUGUGAUAGUGUGACUUGUGGAUGGGAAAGGGGGAUUACGUAUCACACGAGAAUAGUUUGUCACAUACCAAUAAAUUGAGUAAGUGAGACAAAUUACACGUAAUUAAUUAGUUAUUUGCCACAAUAACACAAAGGUUGUUGGCUGAUUUUUAAUUGAUAAUUACAUGUAAUUAAUUAGUUGUUUGCCACCACCCAAUAACGCUCAAACUCUCCCACUAUUUCGAUUGAUAAAAGUAAUUCGUGGAUUAUUUUGUGGUCUCCGUGAUAGAACCUAGUAAUAUAUAUCCUUCGGAUGAGGAUUUUAUCCGGAUUCUAUCUUAGAAUCUCCACAUUAUGAUUGUUUAUUGUAUAUUAUACGGUCAGUUUUCGUUAAAUACUAUUUGUUUUUAAUUUUAAAUAAAAUAAUUUCUAACCGCACGAUUUACGAUAAACAGUUAAGAUACGAAGAUUCCUACUAUUCUCACAAUUUGAAUCUGGAAUCCAAAUCCAUAUCUUUCAUUUCAUCCAUGUGACAACCAGCUGGUCUGCAUAUGACUUGGAUCAAAUACUUAAUUUACAGUUGCUUGCUAGUUAUUAUUUGGUAAAUCAUUUCUUUUCGUAUGUUUCUUCCUCAUUUGACCUCAACCUCUUAAGACUUGUAAAUCUCCCACGAGUCCAGACAUAGUUGUGCCCUACUUUUAAGCGCGGUUUAAUUAUUUUUCAACCCACUAGAAUUUCAGGUCAUGGCAAUCAUUUUAUUGUUUGAAUGUAGGAAAAGUUGAAUUAUGACAAUCUGGUAAAGUAAUGUAAGUAUUUUAGUUUACCGAGAUUUGUGUGCAUACAAAUACACACAUCACGUGCUUGAUUAUUCUUGUUUACUAUAUGAUCGUAAUUUGUUUUUAAUUAAUAUAGUAAAAAUUGAAAUUACACAAUAAAAUUAAAGAAAAACUAAUAAAAAGAGUUUGAAAACUUUAAGUUUUAACAAUAAGGAUAAAAUAAAGAAUAAAGUGAAUAGUAGUAGGAUUAACUUUUUAAUGUAAAAAUGUGGUUUUUCGUUAAAGUAAAUAGUAGCGGAAACUUUUCGUUAAAGUUCUCUAAAAUUAAUUAGAAAUUUUAAGUCUAAAACUUGGACAACGAAGCACGCAACUAUUCGACUUCACACAUGCCUAAACAUAUCUUUAAUAUUACAAAGAAAAUUAAAAUUUAAUUAUAAAAUUAAUUGACAAUAUAAAAUAUAGCUAAACUUCUUAUAUAUAAGGGUACUAGAUGGACUAUGACCUUAUUAUAUAAAAUGCAGGAUAUUAUUUUAUGCAUAGGGUUCGAAAACUGUUGACCUUGUUAACAAUGAAAGUCUCUUUUCUUUAAUUGAUAGAUCUCGCAGAUCGAUACGCUUUUGUUGUGUGAUUAUUAAUGUAUUAGCUGAUCAAUUGAUGCAUGUGGUCUUUCGUUACAAUCAAUGAUGCUUGCUUAUAAUAAUAUUAGGAUGGUGCAACUUUGUAAAACUACUUGAUUUAUUAUAUUACUAUUUUGAUUUCACAAGAUGAUUUGUUAUCUGAGCGUUAAAGGUAGGACAUAGUACCUUAGAGUUUAGGGUUGUUUAAUUUAAUUUUAAUAUGAGGUGACAAUAAAUCACUUACCCACUAACAUAUGAUUUUAUGAUGAUAAAUCCUAAUUAGCAGCAAAAGGAAUCAAGACCGUCGAUUUAAUCCAUAUGUACCCCUUCUACUUGCUCUUUUGUUUGUUGUCUAUUUCUCUCUCCCUUUAUUUUAAGGGAAUUUUGCAGUUCCCGCAAAAUGAUAUUAUCAUUUUACUCCAAUUAUAGAACGUGUAUCUGUUUAAUAUUCGGUUGUAUCUAGAACCCUGUCACGUUGUCCAACCAUAGUAACACAUUGAAUAUUAUAUGACAAAUAUUUUAUAUACACAAAUAUGUCUCCUUAUUUGUUUCUUCCCAAAGAAUUUCUUACGCACGAUGUUGUAGCUUGUAUUUGUUUACCACUAGGGGUAGGGGCAAAGAUAGAAAGUUAUUUAAUGGGGACACAACUGAGCAAUGGUGGAUACAGACCCUCUUGGAAUUCCAAAAAGAGCACACACAAUGCCAAUAUUUUUUCAAUUUAAGUAAGGCAUUUUGUUGAGCACUUGGCCAGCUGCCCAUAUACCUAUUUGUGUACUUAGUGUUCAUCGUCACCCUUUGUGUUAUUUUAAUUGUAUUUUUAAGAUCAAUAUUUUUAUGGUGAAAAAUAGAUAAAUUGUAUAGGUAUAGGGUUAGUAGGUCAAAUUCAUUAGAUGUAUAGAAGGAAGAAAUUUUUCUUCGUGAGCUGUCAUAAAUAACUCUACAACUAAACAUUUUUAUGUUAUACAUAUCUGCCUGAAUGAGAAGCGAGUGAUAGAGUUAGACCUAGUUUGGGAGUGAGGUGCUUAAAAAAAAACACCCAUGAAAAAAAGCUGUGAGGGUUUUAGGUGUUUGGUAAACUGAAAAAAAAGGCUUAUUUUGGAAGCUGCUGUGAGAAUAAGCUGAAAUCAAAGGAAAAAGAUGAAGCUGUUAUUUGCAGCUUUGGAAAAUUGGUUUUUUUUCAAAGCACACGGAGCUACAGGGCUUCUUUAAUGAAAAGACCCACUAUUAGACUGCUUUUUUUUCCAAAAACCCUUUUACAAAAAAGUUUACCAAACACUCUGCUGAUUUAUUUCACAGCCGCUUAUUCUCACAGCAGCUUUUUUUCAAAGCACAACAAUACCAAACCAGCCCUUAGUAGUUGCUGUCGUGUAUUGAUUAUUAUUUAUUGUAGUCCAAUUUGAGCGGCGGGAGGUGAAUAUAAUUAAGCAGACUUUUGAUUCUUGCUCAGACAAUUUUUUAAGACCAAAACUUGAGGAGGCACGUGCCCACUUUGAUCCUUGCCAAGAUUUGCCCUGAUCACUGGCCAGGGCUGCUUCAGAAUCCGAACGGUGGCCAAAUAAAAAGACAAGUAGAUAAGCCAUCUGAAAAAAUAAUUGUACGUACAUAAAUAAAUAUAUAUAUACACACACACUUACAAGUAACUCCAAAUCCUUGAUAUAUUUCGGAUCAAAACCCACCAAACCUCCCACGAGCAUACCUCACCAAACGUCACUCACCCCUAGCAUUAACCAAAGCAACGAAGGAAAAACAACAAGGUUAGGAGAGGAAGGAUCACAUCACUAAUUACGCUCUUGUUAAGAUGUAUGGUAUACUUCUUAAAAUAAUAAUACUGACGUUUGAACCACAUACAAGUGUAACUUUAUUACCUCUUGCAAAGUUGCACUCAUGUUUUAAUUACCAGCCAAGCUGGGAUCCACAGCUCUUUAAUCAUAUGGUUUGUAAACGUCACAGAUAAACAUUGUUUGUCUAGUACAAAAUUGCCACCUCUCUCAAAAGAUAUGAUCUAUGCAAUAUCCAAUUAUUAAUGUGAAGUUCCAAUAUUUUUUUUUAUUUUUAAAAAGGAACAACCGGUGGUAAAGUACGACUAUCCAUCUUUUUUUGAAGUCAGGAAUACUCAUAGAGGCAUUUCAGCUUCCUUAGGCCUACAAGUUUGACUUUCACUCCAGCAACGGAUUUCGAAUUUGAGACCUUCAGCUUUUAGUUUUAAAAAAAUUUCAUAAUCCUCUAUUUACAACUGAAUCACUAUCUCGUAGUUAAGUUCUAAUAUAUUUAAUUCGUAAAUAUGAUAAAGAAAGUAAGAGGUAAUAUUUCUUCCUCGGUCGAAAGAAAAUAUAACAUUAUAAUAUUUAAUUGUCAAACGUGUUUGGUGCUGGAGUAGGUGCGCUGCAUAUUCUAGGUUUUGGAGAUAAAAGAACAGAAAACAUGACCUCAUCGACAGCGAAAAGAUUAACGAAUCCUACACUCUGCACUCAUGCAUGUUCACUACCUUUUUUCUUACUUUUGUGAAAGAAGUAUUUUUCUUUUUUAACUUUUGAAAUUAAAUAAUGAUAUAAAUUUGCAGGUAAAAUUUUAUAAACUAAAUAAUAGGGAAAUUUGAAAAAAUAAUCAAAAUUUGAACUUCAUAUAGAACUAUAGCCACUCUUUUAAAUUUAUGAUAAUUAUAACAAAAAAUUGAUAUGUAAAUACUAAUAUACCUUUAAAAUAGAAAUUGAGAGAUAAGGAGAGUUUGAAAACAAAUCCAAAAAACCCAAAUCAAAUAUGAGAUUAUCCCAAUGUCUUACUGAGUUCUUUUUUUUUGGUUCCAAAGAAAAAAAAUAGACUGUGUUAAUAAAAGGAUUUUCUCGUUUUGAUUUGUGUGUGAUAAGAAAAUUUUAUUUAUUGUCGUUCAAAAAUGAUCUUUUGUUGGAUCCACUCCCGAAGAGCAUGGUCUGGGAAGCCAUGAACACUCAUGGCUAAGAUCACUUGGAGAUCAUGUCAAUAUAUAUAUUUACUGCCCCACACCACACACAUUGAUUCGUUUACAUUAGCAAUUUUUGUUUUUUACAAGUUUGGGGCAUCUAGCAAGCAUGAAAAAAAAGAUCAUUACCUAUUAGCUGCUUUUUGUCCAUUGCAAAUUUUGUAUCAGCUUUCAUUUGGCAUUUCUCUUCUGUAUUAUCUGAUUUCGAUAUGUCAUUUGUCUCUGAACUUGUAGUAGAAAGGGGAUUUAAUUGUCAAUUUUUUGUGUUUUUAUUUUGAUACAAAAUUAUAAAGGUGUAUCAAAGGGUAUAUUAGUACUUUUAUAUCAAUUUUGGGUUAUAAUUAUCAUAAACCUAAAAUGGUGGCUAUAAUUCUAUAUGGGAUCCAAAAUUUGGUUACUUUUCCAAAUAGAAGUUGAUGAUGGGUAAUCACUUAAGCGACGUGCUAAUUUUUAUUAGUGACAAAUUAUUUAGUUUGCAAAUUUUAUUUAUAUAUUUAAUCUCUUUAGCAUUACACUUUGAAAUUCUUGGGAGACUAAAUUUGAAGAUAAAAUUUGUAAACUAAUGAUUGAAUUAUUACUUAAGCGUUGAUAAACAUACUCAUUUACUAUUGAUAACAUAUCAUUUAGUUUGCAAAUUUAAUAUCUCUAACAUUACUUCACCAUUAAUUAUGCAUACGCACAUUUUUAGUGUGCCGUCCCACCAGUUUCCACUAUAAAAACAUUGCAAUCCCAUUUCCUUCUUAAUUGCAAAGUGGAAAGGAAAACCAAUUCAACCACGGCUUCAUCUCCCUUACCACCAACUUCUACAAUGGCCGCCCUGCCAUCCACCAUAACCACCAUCUUCCGCUCUCCUUUAUUCCUAAACAAGUCCUAGACUUCACUGCAACGAAAACCCAAACAAUCCCUUGCGAGCAGAGUGCGCUGCAAAGCAACAAAAGGUGACAAUGAUAACCUAGACUAGGGCCUAGCAAGACUCGACAGGAGGAACAUGCUAAUAGGUUUAAGCAUCGGGGGUUUCUACGGUGUGGCAUGAAACCCAUUUGCUUUUGCCACACCAGUAUCUGCCUCAGACCUGACCAUGUGUGGCCCUGCCGACAAGCCAGACGGGUCCACCAUCGAUUGUUGCCCACCUACCACCACGACCAUCAUCGACUUCGAACUCACUGACUCAGGCCCACUUUGCACUAGGCCCGCUGCCCAGGACGUUGCAAAUGACCCUGAAUACUUGGCCAAAUACAAAAAGGCCGUCGAGCUAAUGCGGGCACUUCCAGACGACGACCCGUGCAGUCACGCCCAACAGGCCAUGGUACACUGCUCCUACUAUGACGGUGGAUACCCACAAGUCGGAUAUUUGGAUUUGGAGAUCCAAGUUCACUAUUGUUGGCUCUUCUUCCCGUUCCAUCGUAAGUACCUCUACUUCUACGAGAAAAUCAUGGGCGAGCUCAUUGGGGACCCAACGUUCGCCAUCCCCUUCUAGAACUGGGACGCGGCAGCUGGCAUGUACAUUCAUGAGAUUUUCACUAAUACGUCGUCAUCCCUCUACGACAAGUACAGAAAUGCAGCACAUCAGCCCCCGAAGCUCCUGGACUUGAAUUACAGCGGGACCGACGAUGACGUUGACGACGUGACACAAAUCAUAGAAAACUUAACAAUGAUGUACCAGCAAAUGGUGUCGAAGGCCACUUCUCACAGACUCUUCUACGGAGAGCCCUACAGCGCAGGGGACGACCCUAGCCUUGGCGCCAGAAACAUUGAGAGCAUUCCUUAUAACAAUAUUCACUUUUGGACUAGCGACCCAACCCAGACAAACGAGGAAGACAUGAGGGCCUUUUACUCUACGGGGAGGGAUCCGCUAUUUUACUCCAACCAUUCCAACGUGGACCACAUGUGGUCUAUAUAUAAAGAUAAGUUGGGGGGUACGGACAUAGAAAAGAUUGACUAGUUGGACACAGAGUUCUUGUUCUACGACGAGAAAAAGAAUCUCGUGCGCGUCAAGGUUCGGGACUCGCUUGACACGAAAAAACUCGGGUAUGUGUACGACAAGAAUGCCUCAAUUCCGUGGCUAGAGUUGAAGCCGACGGCUCAUAAGUCGACAAAUAAGAGAAAGGCCACUGUUUCAUCUUCUGAUCUUACUACAACGUUCCCUGUUACACUGUCGGAUACAAUCAGCGUCGAGGUGACGAGGCUGUCUGCGAUGAAGCGGACAGCUGCCCAGAAGAAGGCGCAUGACGAGGUGCUUGUGAUUAAAGGGAUUGAGUUUGCCUGGAAUGAGACUGUGAAGUUCGACGUGUAUGUGAAUAAUGACGCAGACUCGCUAGCCGAGAAAGACAAGUCGGAGUUUGCUGGGAGUUUUGUUCACGUGCCGCAUAAGCAUAAGAAAAAUAUUAAGAUGAACCUGCGGCUGAGCAUUACGAGCUUGUUGGAGGAAUGGGAUGCGGAGACAGACAUCAGUUUGGUGGUGACUUUGGUGCCAAAAGUUGGGAAGGGGCCAAUCACCAUCGAAGGGUUUAGCAUUGAGCUUAUUAAUACUACCUGAGUAUUCAUGUUAUUGUUGUUCUUGUUGUUGUUGUUGGGUUGGCUUAAUCGUGGUUUUCUAGCUAAUUAAUCUUAAACGUACGUAAUAUGCUCAUCUACUGCUUACGUGGCAGAUGAUGGUUGGUGUUCCUCGUGAAUAAAAGCACUAUUGUGUUUCAGUGUGUUUAUUUAUUGAAUAAAGAAUUGAUGGUGGAGUUUAAUCAUAGUUUUCCAGAAUUAUUGAUGGUAGAGUUCUUGAAAAAUUAAUGGACCGUAAUUGUGUGUAAAAUUGUUUAUAAAACUAGUACACUACUUUACUAUUAUUAUUAUUUGUGAUAAUGGAGAGGACUAACAAUUGAGUCAAAUUCUUGCGCAAAGAGAAAGAUAACAAACAUGUAAGCCAAAAAAGUGUAGGGGUAAAACCACAAUAAAGCUAAAUAUGUGGUAGCGACUAGCAUAAAAAGUUCUUUUUUUUUUUUUUUUGGAAGAAAGGUAAAUUUUAUAACAAAUAACUAUUUAGGGACUCUAACCUUCACCUUUAAGUACUCAUUUAAGUACUUAACUGAAAUCUUUAUCUUCUUAAAGGAAUAUUGCCUCCAAUUGGAGCGUCUUAUAGUAGAAUUCUUAAAUUUGAAGUUUUUAUGAUUUUAUAUAAUAAUUUGAUUACGUGCACAUUUUUUGUUUAUAUUAACCUUUUAUAAUUAAUUAAAAGCUUCAAUCAAAAUUGUAGGCCCCGUUUUCAACUCAAGGUACACAUUUUUGCUUAGGGUAUUACUAGAUAGACUAAAUUUGUAGACGGAUGAGUAGACACAUCCGUCGCCUACAUACCGUUGAGAUGGCACUAUCAAAAUCCAGCUAAGGCAAGAAACUCCGUGUCGUGGCUGCUCCACUCUGCAAAGACAAAACUUUGUAAACUAAAUGACAUGGAAGUUGAUGAUUGAUUAUUACUUAAGCGUUGAUAAAAAUUCUCAUUUCUAUUAGCGAUACAUCAUUUGGUUUGCAAAUUUUGUCUAUAAAUUUAGUCUCCUUAGCAUUUCCUUUUGUGGGUAAUGCUAGGGAGAUUAAAUUUGUAAACAAAAUUUGCAAACAAAAUUUGCAAACCAAAUGAUGUGUCAUCAAUAGGAAUGAACACAUUUAUCAACGCUUAAGUAAUAAUCUAAUCAUCAACUUAUAUAUCAUUUAAUUUAUAAAAUUUUGUUUACAGAUUUAGUCUCUCUAGUAUUACCCAAAAUACAAAAUAUACAAUAUUUGACACCCAUAUUUCGUUGACUAUUCAUUAAAUCAAGUGAUUCAUCCAUCAACUUUUACAACCACCUUUCCCUUUACUGACUUAUUCUUUAUAUAGUCACUACCUAGGUUAUCUUGCAAGUUAACUACUAACAACUUUCUCUAACAGACUUAAGGUUCAUUUGGAAGUAUUUUUAAAAUGACUGAAAACGCUUUUGAUAAAAUUGAUUUUGGGUUCCAAAAGAACUUUAAAUGCUUUUUGAAGAAGCACAAAAUAUGUGCUUCUUGCAGGAAGCACAUAAAGUGUUUUUCCAUUAUCUACUUAGAUUUUUACUAAGGAUUGGUUUCAUAAAUAUUUUCACUUAAAGAGAUUUCAGUUAUUUAAAAAAAAAUCCAAACGAGCCCUUAUCCACUUAGCAACUAUCUGUUAUCCUAGUUAUAGCACUUCUACAUCUCUGAUUCAACAUGCUGAGUCAGCAAUUACAUAGAAUCCUAUCACAUGGCCAUGUCUCCUUUUUUGUGUCUCUCAUUGUAAUAACUCUUUUGAGAAUUCAACAAAAAAAAUGAUAUAUAUUGUAGCACUUAAAUGGUAACUGGUUAGUAAGUUAGAAUGACAUUAUAUUUAACAUGAAUUGUUUACCAGGGAAGGAAGCUUAUCUGUUAGUUUCUUUUUUCUUAGACCAUCUCUAACUGAAGUGACUAAAUAUAGCUCAGUUAAAAAUUAUAACCCUGCAAGAAAUUAUUUUCUAUGAACAAUGCCAAAUUAUAUUCAUUAUUCAUAUACCAUUUCCAACUAAAGUGACUAAACAUAACCAUACUAAAAUAAAAAUAUCUUUAAAUUUAUUAAACAUAACUUCCUCAAUAAUUUUUUUAUUUUAUGUGUUAUUUAAAUUUAUUAAUUAAUUUAAUUAAAGUACUACAACUUAUACCAUAUUAAAGUAAAAAUAUCUUUUUCGGAUAUUAUCGCGAGACACAUGUCGAGCUCAUGGAACUAAUGUAACAACUAAAGCAUAUAUGUAUAUAUAAGAAUAUACAAUUUACAAGGACACAACAAAGACAAGAUUUGUAUUCAUUUCUGCCCGGAUGUGGUACUAAUUAAUUCCAAAAUCAAAACCAUACUCAUACAUACAAAGCCUUAGUUUUUACAAGAUUUUCUUCGGACCGGAUUAUUUACAAGGGUCACAACAAAAGAAAAAAAAUCUUCUUUUUUUUUUUUGGUAUUGCAAAAACAGUGCUAUUUACAAGGAAAUUAGGGUUUCAGUUAUGUUGGGGACCUUCAGACUCGAUUUCUUUAGCCAGUUCUUUUGUGAGCAUGUCAGCCCGGUCAUCAUGUCCACCAGCGAAUGUGUAAACCCUAAAAGCAAACUGAAAAGCCUUCCGCUGCAUUUUCACACAAAUCUUUUGUUUGCUUCUGAUCAGUUUUUGUUCCAGUCUUACCUGCGGCCUUUGCUUCUCUCCUUUCCUGCAUCAUUUAACAUUUCAAAGUCAAAACUCCCUUUUCAAAUCAUUGUUAUUUGUUUUUUAAAGUAGUUAAUUCUGAGUACUAACCUUUAGUGCCAUCUCCAUGCAGCUUGAGGAGACAUCCACCAUGGCUUCUUUGAUCCGGAUGAGGAUAUUAAAGUCGAAAUGGAUAUUCUGGCUCUGAAACUUCUUGGCUUCGUCGUCUUCAGUUCGUUCCAUCGUGUCUAUUUCUCCUUUUAUCUGUGUAUUACCUUUUUUUAUUAGUUAUGGAAAAUGGAAAGAGACAAUUAAGUUUUUUUAUAUAAGAAACGAUAGUGAAGACAAUUAAGUAAGCAGAGAUUAUAUUCACAUACCCCAAAUUAUUUCUCCCACAUCCUUUUAAAAUUUUUAAUAUUUUCUCACACCCACUAACACUUCCCACUAACACUUGAUAGAAAAAUAUUAAAAAAUUAAAAGGGUGUGAGAAAAGUAAUAGUAGUAAGUUUUUUAUAUAAGAAACGAUAGUGGAGACAAUUAAGUAAGUAAGAUUGUAUAAAAUGAACAUUUGUGCACCUUUAUCAAAGUAGCGUUCGGCCUUGUCAAGGAGCUGACCCAAUGGAACCACUAGUUUCCAGUUUUGUAGUUCAUUGAGCAUUGUAUUUAAAUUUGUGUGUAGUGCUGCUGCCAUCCUUAUUGCUUCCAACUUCUUUGUUGGGAACCCUUCAAACCUGGAGAGUACCUGCAAUUCAGAAAACGGCAUGUCACAAAACACGAUUAUGAAGUGAUCAUAGAAUUAGAAUGGAAAUGAACAAAACUAAAGCGGACAAUUAAUGGUAUUGACCUGUGACUCAUCAGUCAAGUGUUCAAGGACGGAUUCGACUUUCUUGUGAAACUGCAUCAACCCAUUCAUGUCUUUUGUUUUGAAAGAACCAUGAUUAAAUUCGGGCUGGGUCAAACUUAAUACAGAUGGUAGUGUAAGGGGAAUUGCGGGUAUUGCCACAGGAGGGGGUUUGCUUAGGGAUGACAGUGGAAGAUGGAUCAUGGGCUUUGGACUCAAUAUAGGAGGAGUAUGCCCUGUGACCGCAGCAGAACUUUGGGCUUUAUACCAUGGGCUGGAACUGGCCUGGGCUGAAGGCCUCAGGAAAAUCUCAGUGGCCGUGGAUUCCACCGCUUUGUAGAUUCUCCUUUCGGUAAAACCACUCAUUUCUUUUCCUUGUCGAAGCCAUUCUCUUCUUAUCUCAUUUCCGUGAUAGGCUUUGCAUACUUCUGAACAUCUUCUUCAGUUUGUUGAAAGUAUGCUGAUCUGAGACACAAAAAUUAGAAACAUUAUAUGCAUGGUUUUCGCAUUAUUUUGAGUACUUAGAUUACUUAUCCAUACAAUAAAUACCUCUUUGUAAUCUCUGCUAGAGCAUCAGCCAUUCCUUGUUUUCCACCAGAGCUGCUUCCAAUUCCACUCUUUCUCCCGUUGGAUGCCUUGCCAUCCAAGCUAGAUCCUUUCACCUUUCUCUUGAGAAGACGGUAGAGACUACCCAUCUGAGGUGAUCUCUUCAGUUAGUGUCUGUCUUGUGGCGCAAGGAUCUUCCUGUGCCGAGUGCGGGAGGUGGGGGUGGAGCAGCUCCAUUUGAUGGGCCUUUUAUCAUGGGUGGUGGCUGUGGAGGACCUCCAUUUGAUGAUCCUGGUGGAGGUGGUGGGGGUGGAGGACAGCCAAUUGACGGUCCUGGUGGAGGUGGUGGUGCUGGAGCUCCAUUUGAUGAUCCUGGCGGAGGUGAGAGUAGGGGUGGAACGACUUUUGUUGACCUUGGUAUCACUGGUGUUGGUGGAGGGGUUGGAUUUACUGACACUGGUCCUGGUUCCAUUGGUAGAGGCGGUGGGGGUGGUGGCCCCCUAACUGCUACUACAUUAUGUGGGGUUAAUGUUGGUGGUGGUGGAGUUGCUGUAACUUGUGGCCGCAUGGCGGGUAGUGAUGGUGGUGGCGGCGGUGGUGUUGCAACAUUUAGCUUCAAAGUGUGUAGUGGUGGUGGUGGAGGGGAUGUUGGUAUUCUUGUUGCUGUUUCUGUAUUGGACAGUGAAAGUUGUUGCGUUGGUGGAGGUGGAGGUGGAUGCGGAGGCGGAGGCGGAGGUGCUGAUUUUGGUUGUGGAAGUGUAGGUGAGGGUGAAAGCAAUGAUGCUCCUGUGGUGUCUGCUUCCAAUGCUUCAGAGGCCGUGGUUGGAGUUUCAACAUCAUCACUUGUGUUGUCGAUACCCUGUCCACUAGACUUCUCAUCCAAACUAAGAUUUGGGGCUACUACUUCCUCAUCUCAUCUGUUGCUGCAAUUGUCUUUUGAGGGUUGCUCUCUAAUUCUGUCCCAAUUGGUGGGUCUUCAAACAAAUUUUCAAUCUUGUCCAGGCCAUUGUUGGUACCAUGAGCUCCUUGUUUUGAUAAGUGAAGAGACAAGUUCUUAACAUCAAUCGGAUUUAGCUUCCCAACUGCUUGCACUCUCAGAGUCCAAAGUAAUGGUGAUUUGGAACCAAUGUUGGCCUUCUUUCGUGCUCUCGGAGAACCAUCAAUCUCGGGUAGGACAGAAGAUGGAGUGAUCGGAGAAGGACAGGUGGAACCUGAGGCGUAGCUCUCCGAAUCGCUCAAGAACUUCCCAAAUGAGCAAUUCCGAGGGCUGUAAUCUUCUCUUUUCUGGCCAUCCUCAUCCAUCAUAUCAAACUUGUCCAGUGCCAUCUUCAUCAAGCAAUCAAACGUUUCCAGCACCGUCUCAACUACAAAAUCGUAUAGAGAAUCAGCCUUAACUUAAAAUUUCACAAAUGGAAAUAACAAUUAGGCUGUUGCUUCCAUUUCCAAAUGGGAGGCCUCGACUAGUCCUCGAGAAAAAUUUGUAGCAUACCGAGUUCAUCCUGAUUGACAUUCUCCUUGGGUGAUGGGAAAUCAUAUCUCGGUUUGUCCAACCUGUCAUAACUUGUCAUCCAAGACUCUCCAAUAGAUUUCAAUGCCUUGCAGAAGGAGGCCAUGACCUGAUUGUGGAUGUUUAAUUUGAGAAAUUAGCUUAAUGGUCUCGAGUAUAAUUACAUAUGCGUACUAAGCCAUUUCUUAUGGAUCUUAAAUCCUUAAUUACCUUCUCUGUACAUGCUUCCUUUAUCUCCGACAAUUGUUUAUGCAGCACAAUUUCAGGGAAAAGCUUCUGUAGAUCUCCCAUCAACCUCAUUACCAUCUGCAAGCAGAAAAUAAUUGGAAAAUUAAACAAAUUGUGUUUUAAUCCUGAAAUUGAAGUACAAGAUUUCAACGGGAAAAAAGGAAAUGUUAUUAGCAAUCCAAAAAAUUCAUUCUGCGCUCCAUCUUUUAAUCUUCAUUAGGGAAGAGUGUACUAUAACAUGUUUAGAGUUCCUAUAAAAGCGCUUUGGAAAAAAUAAAAAAGGGGGCACAUACCUCAGUUAUUGCAGCAGAAGCAUCACAUGCUGGUAGGUCGAUGAUGCCUCUAAAGAUGGUGAUCUUCUUCCGGAGCUCAGUCAUCCGAACCUCAUUGGCUGAAUCUCCGCAAGACCUAUCUUUUGGCAUGCCUCCUCUCCUAGAAGCAUUCUUCUGUUUCACAGGCAGACUCUUGGUUGGCCCCCUUGGAGUCUUUCAUUGCCAGAAAGAACAACUCUAUUCAUGUUAACCAUUUUCUAGUCUACACCUUAUUGUGAAUCGAUUCAUUUUCAGUGAUUAUUUAUUUUAUGAACCUUAAUCAAAGAUUUAUGGCUGCAUUCAACAAACUUAAUCUAGACAAGAAACAAUGCUGCCAUGUUUCCAUUUAUAUAGAUUAUUAGCAUGCCUAGAUGUAGAUGGUCAGUUUUUACUCGACCUCAUCCUCAAUGUGACUAGGAUUCUCUCCAUUCCUCUUUCCAUCCUCUUUCAUCUCCUCCUCUUACAUUCUCUUACAUUCUCUUUCUCUUGCUAUAAAAAAUUAAUAUAAGAUGUUAACAUGGUUUAAUUGUGACCGUUCAAAUAGAAGAUGAGGGAAAAAAAUAAGGAAGAGAAUCCUACUCCCCUCAAUGGUGCUAUGAAUAAUAUGAAGUUUAAAAUAAUAAAGUUUUGUGAAAAAUUCUUGGUGACAGCCAAAUCGUAUAGAACAGAACCAAAUGCGCCCUCUGUGUGAAAUACAUUUUCAAAUAUGAACCACGGCUUUUUUCUUCUUCUUUCUUUUUCGAAAUAUAGCAACGGAUUUUCUUAGGAUACUCCUACAAUUCAUCUUUAGAAGAGACUAGUCAUUUAAAUUGAAGAAGCUAAAUCUGGAAAAGGACAAAAAAAGAAGGGGGCUGCAAAUCGAAGAAGCUGAAAAGAAAAGGAAAAAAGGCGUUAAGGGAGUAGCCAAAUAGCUUCGAAAGCAAUUCAAUAGUUGAUAACAACCCAUUUAAAUUGAACCCAAGAAGCUUCUACCAUUUAAAAUUCAACAAAACACAAUCUAUACAGUCGGAAAAAAACAAAAAAACGAUUCCAUAAGAUUCAGGAAAAAGAAUAAAAAUUAUAUACCUUGUUGAUAAAGAAAGAGCUUGCAAAGCUGCAGAUAAAAACUGGAAAAUUCGAGCAACAACUUUUGCUGCAACUAAAAAUCAAAGCAGUUCAGAAAAGUACACCCAAAGCUUGAAAAAAAUUAAAUCACACACAAUCAGAAAAAUAGAAAACUCACCAGUAAACGUUUGAUCGUAUUGUUAACUUUUCCUGAAAUCAAAAAUCAAAACACAUAAGAGAACUCACCACAAUCCAUAUAGUUGCAUAAAAAACUUGUAGAUGCAAGAUUAGAAGAACUCACCACAAAACUAUCCACUUUGAGACCAGCAGAGGCGAAGAGAGGGGAGAGCAAACGGCUACGGAAGAAGCGAAGCAAGAGAAGUGGGAAAAAAAUUGGGGAAUCAUUGCAGAAAGAAGAAAAGGAACCGGACAAAAAUGUUGAAGGGCAAAGUUGAAAUAACAAAAACGAAGCAAGGGCAUUUGGUCCGCACACUGCCCUAGAACAGUGGCACACGAGUUUGUAAUUUUAGUGGUGUUUACUCUGAAUCAAUACUUACCACGUGAUUAGAAAGUGAUUUGUUCAUCUAAUAUAAACUUGUCACAUGAUAAAAUAAUUGUACAAAAGAAUCUCUCUUUUCAUCGAGACCGGAAUUAUUGAAUUAUGAUAGGAAAAUUCUACGCAUGCUUUGAAACACAUCAAUCAGUCUAUACUAUUAACCACGUAUUUCUUCAUUGUUGGGGAAAUUCUACGUAGCAUGUUUUUCAUGAUUACAUUAUCUUUAACAUUCGUAAACAAAAUAGAGGUCUAGAUUCGCAGACUCGAUGCCUACCUAUUAUUUUUCAUUGAUUAUUGGUCAUGCUACUAGCUGACUAGGAAGAUCGACUCUCCCUUACUGUUAUUAAAAUUUCGAAAUUUUCUAAUUCUCAUUUGUUUUUGUUGCAUAAGGUUUUUUUUUUUUUGGUUAAUUGUUGCAUAAGUAAUUUGGCAUGUAUUUUUUAACAAUGUUGGAUGAGAAAUCUAAUGGUUUAAGAAUUAUAAAUAAGAAUUUAAAAAACAUUUAGUGACAUUAAAAAAAGUAUUUCUUUGUAAUUUUAGUGGUGUUUACUUUGAAUCAAUAUUUACCACGUGAUUAGAAAGUGAUUUAUUUAUCUAAUAUAAACUUGUCACAUGAUAAAAUAAUUGUACGAAAGAAUCUCUCUUUUCAUCGAGACCGGAAUUAUUGAAUUUAUGAGAUUUAAUUGCAAUGUGUCCAUUUUAUGUGCGGUAGUUGUUGAUUUUUGCGCGGCGGGUUCGAAUCAUAUAAACCUAUAAAUAAAGAUUAAAUUGCAAUGUUUGUAUGACAUUUAAAUUAGUCUGGACUUGUAGUUUAGAAGUAAUGUUUCUAACAUGGUGUAUGAAACUUAAAUAUCCCAUAUAUUUUUUUCAUCCACUGUAUAAAAAAUGAAAAUACAUGUGUUAAUCACUUAUACAAUACAUCCAAACGAGAAUAAGAAAAUUUCAGAAUUUGAAUAAAAAAUUAUGGGAGAGUCAAUAUGCACAUGAUUUUUGCUUUAGUACCGUGGGAUAAUAGCUUACCGUAAGCAAAAACACAAAAUAUAAAUUAUAAAUAUAAUAGAAGGAUAACUGGAAUCGCUCCGGGGGUCUCUCACCCGUCCUUGACCUCUUACCAAGAAUUUUGGCUUCUAUCCCAUCCCAGGGCUAGAAUUUUAAUCUCUGGAAGGCAAAGCUUUUCUAUUCAACUCUUCAUUGUUUGUUAAUCUGAAUUACAAGGGAUGUUUAUAAAGCCUAAAAAUGACCGCAUGAAGGUAAACUUAUUAUAGUAAAGAAAUCCUAAUCCAAAAUAAAAUAGGACACUAUAUCUAAUCCUAAUUAAACUGGAAAGAAUUAUAGAGCUCGUUGGAAGUGAUUUUAAAAGCUGAUAGUGUUUUUGGUGAAAAUGAUUUAGGAACCAAUGCUUAGUAAAAAUGCAAGUAAAUUCUAAAAAAAAAACACUUAGUGUUUCCUUAAAAAAACAUAUAACCGGUGGUUCUUAUAAUAAGCACUUCAAGUGCUUUUGAAAUCCAAAAAUAUUUUAUCUAAAAACGUUUUUAAUCAUUUUAAAAGUACUUUGAAAUCAACCUUUAAUUCUUAUAAACUAAGCAAUCAUAAAACUACCCCCUAGAUAUUAAAAUACUAAGGACUAAAGACUAAAAAGGCUAAAAUACCCUUUAAUUUAGGAAGUCACCACUCUUGUUCCACGUGACUUAGCUAUUACUAAUUUACUAUCACCAGUAAUUGAUGAAAGAUAACAUCAAAAUAGAGAGGCAUAUAGAGUCAGCAAAUCUAGAACCUCUCUUUUUCAUGCAAAUUUUCCUCAUCGACGAAGAAAAAUGUGCUAUAUAUUUUUUAUUCAUGUGUUUCAAAAGUGGAUGGUCUCUUCCGUAAGGUGGUGAACUUAAAGAAAUUUGAGGUUGUAUUGUAAAAUUAAUUAGUAAAUAGAGAGUGGUUUAAUUCUUUAUAAGCUCUUGUAUGAUUUGAUUUCUCACCGAUGUGAGACUUUGUCUUUACAUUCUUACACUAUUCUCGCACGUGGCAAAUUUUAAAACCUAACAUGCGGACAAUACAAAUUGGGUGACGUGGAACAUGUGUAGCCAUUGGACUUCACACGUGGGCUAAUAUGAAGAUUAGUCUAACUCUUCAUAAGCCCUUGCAUGAUUUGGUUAAUCACUGAUGUGGGACUUUGUUCUCACAUUCUCACACGCUCCAUCAUGUGUGGCGAAUAUUCAAACCUAACAUAUGAACAAUACAUAAAAUCUCAAUUUUCUACAAAGUAUCAGAGUUGGUUGAAUCAGAUGUUUAAUUAUUCUUUCGUAGUAUGAAGUCAAUUGAACUACGUGUUUGAUAUGUAAGGAUGUAAAUGUUGAUCCACAUCAAAAAGUUAAGAGACCGUUUACGAUUUUAAUUUGUCCUGAAAGAUGCAUUUCACCACUUGAUGUAGCUCGUAUGGGAAGCCUAACUUUUUUUUUUUUUUUUUUUUUUUUUCUCGCAAUAUAGAUUGUUAACUUUUUCUUUUAAUUUGAGGGAUUCUCCUUGUCUUAAUGAUGUUGACAUCAGAGUGGUAUGGUUCAUGAAUCUUGACUAAGAAAACCCUGCAUUCAUACACACAUUUUUAGUGUGCGGUCCCGCCAAUUUCAACUAUAAAAACAUCACAAUCCCCUUUCCUUCUUAAUUGCAGAGUGGAAAGGAAAACCAAUUCAGCCAUGUCUUCAUCUCCCUUACCAACUUCUACAAUGGCCACCCUGCACUCCACCACAACCACCCUCUUCCGCUCUCCUUUAUUCCCAAACAAGUCCCAGACUCCACUGCAACGAAAACCCAAACAAUGCCUUGCGGGUAGAGUGCGCUGCAAAACAACAAAAGGUGACAAUGAUAACCUAGAUCAGGGCCUAGCAAGACUCGACAGGAGGAACAUGCUGAUAGGUUUAGGCGCCGGGGGUCUCUACGGUGCGGUAGGAAACCCAUUUGCUUUUGCCGCACCAGUAUCCGCCCCAGACUUGACCACGUGUGGCCCUGCCAACAAGCCAGACGGGUCCACCAUCGAUUGUUGCCCACCUACCACCACGACCAUCAUCGACUUUGAACUCCCUGACUCAGGCCCACUCCGCACUAGGCCCGCUGCUCAGGACGUUGCAAAUGACCCUGAAUACUUGGCCAAAUACAAAAAGGCCGUCGAGCUGAUGCGGGCACUUCCAGACGACGACCCGCGCAGUCACGCACAACAGGCGAUGGUACACUGCUCAUACUGCGACGGUGGAUACCCACAAGUCGGAUAUUCGGAUUUGGAGAUCCAAGUUCACUAUUGUUGGCUCUUCUUCCCGUUCCAUCGUUGGUACCUCUAUUUCUACGAGAAAAUCAUGGGCGAGCUCAUUGGGGACCCAACCUUCGCCCUUCCGUUCUGGAAUUGGGACGCGCCAGCUGGCAUGUACAUUCCUGAGAUUUUCAUUGAUACGUCAUCAUCCCUCUACGACCAGUACAGAAAUGCAGCGCAUCAGCCCCCAAAGCUCCUGGACUUGAAUUAUGGCGGGACUGACGAUGACGUCGAUGACGCGACACGAAUCAAAGAAAACCUAACAACGAUGUACAAGCAGAUGGUGUCGAAUGCCACUUCUCACAGACUCUUCUACGGAGAGCCCUAUAGCGCAGGGGACGAACCAAGUCCUGGUGCCGGAAACAUUGAGACCACUCCCCAUAACAAUAUUCACCUUUGGGCUGGUGACCCAACCCAGACAAACGGGGAGGACAUGGGGACAUUUUACUCUGCGGCGAGGGAUCCGCUGUUUUACUCUCACCAUUCCAACGUGGACCGCAUGUGGUCUAUAUAUAAAGAUAAGUUGGGUGGUACGGACAUAGAAAAUACCGAUUGGCUGGACGCAGAGUUCUUGUUUUACGACGAGAAAAAGAAUCUCGUGCGCGUCAAGGUUCGGGACUCGCUCGACACGAAAAAACUCGGGUAUGUGUACGACGAGAAUGUCUCGAUCCCAUGGCUGGAGUCAAAGCCGACGACUCGUAAGUCAACAAAUAAGAGAAAGGCUGCGGUUUCAUCUUCUGAUCUUUCUACAACGUUCCCUGCUACACUAUCAGAUAUAAUCAGCGUCGAGGUGACGAGGCCGUCUACGACGAAACGGACAGCUGCCCAGAAGAAGGCGCAGGAGGUGCUGGUGAUUAAGGGGAUUGAGUUUGCCGGGAAUGAAACUGUGAAGUUCGACGUGUAUGUGAACGAUGAUGCGGACUCACUGGCCGGGAAAGACAAGUCGGAGUUUGCUGGGAGUUUUGUUCACGUGCCGCAUAAGCAUAAGAAGAAUAUUAAGACAAACCUGCGGCUGAGCAUUACAAGCUUGUUGGAAGAGUUGGAUGCGGAGACAGACAACAGUUUGGUAGUGACUUUGGUGCCGAAAGUUGGGAAGGGGCCAAUCACCAUCGGAGGGUUUAGCAUUGAGCUCAUUAAUACUACCUGAGUAUUAAUUAAUGUUAUUGUUGGUUCUUCUUGUUGUUGUUGGGUUGGCUUAAUCAUGUUUUUCUAGCUAAUUACUCCUGAACGUUCGUAAUGUGCUCAUCUACUGCUUAUGUGGCAGAUGAUGGUUGGUGUUCCUCGUGAAUAAAAGCACUAUUGUGUUUCGGUGUGUUUAUUUAUUGAAUAAAGAAUUGAUGGUAGAGUUUAAUCAUAAUUUUCUA